Molecule: long non-coding RNA, 74906 nt
Filed under: Setaria italica (foxtail millet)
Lineage: Eukaryota; Viridiplantae; Streptophyta; Magnoliopsida; Poales; Poaceae
Description: long non-coding RNA (SITA_LNC004205)
Source: RNAcentral
CCUGUUCGCUUCAGCUUAUUCAGCCGGCUUAUCAGCCACCAAACAGUGUUUUCCUCUCACAACAAAUCAGCCGUUUCAGCUUUUCAGCCGGCUUAUAAGCUGAAGCGAACAGGUCGCAGAUCUAUUAUGAGCCAUGCUUCUGAUGGAUGCCUUGAACCGUUUUUCUAUUUCUUUUUUUUUUUAACGUUACUUGGCUAUGAAUGCUUUGAACCGUUCUGUUGCUGCUGAUGCACAUCCAUCGGUCGUGGUGGUGGAGCAAGCAAGAAGGCUCGAUUAUUUUUGUACUGGGUGCGUGGUAUGGUGCGAUGAUACCAGCAUGUACAUCUUGGUGGCAUCUUGUAGUGGCGUGGGGUUUUUAUGGUAUCUUCAGCAGCAACAGACUUAUUUUCUAGGUGGUAUGUAUCGUAUCCAUCAUAGUGUUAGUACUUUACAAAUGAAGGAAGCGGGCCUUGCUUUGCAAACGAUUAUACAUAGUAUCCAUAUUUUAUUCCUAAACAUAUAUAAUCAUAAAAAGUGAAGAAUUUUUAAAAUUAAAAAGAAAGAUCACUAGAGUAUGCAUGCAUAUAGCAAUUUUGAACGCAUAGGAGCACGUACUCUCCAAUGCGUAGUGCAUGAGCUAUGUACGCUUUGUACAUUGUGCUAAAUGAUACAAUUCUAAACACGUAGGAGUACAUUCUCCAAAACAUAGAGUACAAACUGCAUACGUUAUGCGAGUUGAUGGACUUUCUAAUUCUAGUCUUUCUUCACAUGGGUCACUGCAUAUCUCAAUAGACGAAAUGCAAGCACCUAGACUUCGGUGACGAGAAAGCCAUUGAUCAGGUUGCUUAUAUAUAUAUAUAUAUAUAUAUUUAAUAAUGGAUCACACUAGGAUACUUUAGAACUAAAAUAUGAAAAAUAAUUGUUGCUCUCAUAAGACCAUAUUUCAAAUACAUACACUACCAUUUUUGUGUUGGGAUAUUAAUAUGUUUUUUAUGUAUAAAAUAUUUUAUCUAGAAAUAUCCUUACCAACCUUUAUGUGAAUUUUAUAUCGCUUUAAUUUUAAUAACACUCUAGAUUUUUUUUAAAAAAGGUAAAGGUGUUUAGAGGUGACACUCAGCACGCUAUAAGUCAUCGUUGAGGCAAGAUAACCUCUGAAAGUAAAAAAUACCAAUUCCUUAAGUAGUAGUAGAAGCAAGUGCAUCUUUUUUGCUGCCGCGUCCCAAACAUUGUGCGCCAUUCUUAGCUUGUGUGUAGAGAAACUUAAUUAAUUUGGAAAUAGGAUGCAGGAAACAUACACGUACAGAGGUAACAAGCCAAUCUACCAGCCUCUGAUGAAGUACGUACGCUUUCUCGCUCGUUACGGGGGAGACUGACGCGGAAACGCGGGAAACGCGACUCCGAAUUCAAAAGGAUCACAAAUUUCGAGUUACUAUUCAUUGCACUAUUUAAAUUGAACGGUACUAUUCAAAUUCAGCACACUAUUCAAAUUAGAAAUAUGAACAGCGCUCACGCACUCAUCGCGAGUGGGUGGAGCACCUCAGGAUGAGCAAAACAUGGCGGCACUAUUCGCUCACUAUUAAGCACUAUUGAGCAACUAUUCGGGAUCGCUUUCAGCAACUAUUCAACAGAUAUGGUACGUGCGGGUGCGUGAUUAGGUCUAUAUCUUGAUUAUAUUGAUUCUCAUGAUCUUUACGGGUUGAGAGACCAAGGAUUCAGCCGGUCGUGCUGCUAUGCUUUGUGUCGCUCCUACUCGGUACUCACCGCAUGCGUCGUUGGCUCGCUUCAGAACCAAGCCAGCCCGGUCUUCACCCUCACCGUCCCCAGCCACGAGCACACAGGACUCAGGCUCUACCGUCUCCCCAGGCAGUUCCAUCCGAAGGGAACACUUCUCUGCGCACAUAGGAUUCUCCUGCUACCAGGGCUAACACGAGAACGACACACGCAAAGGUUUCUCCUCUAGGGUCCCUAGCGUAGAGACAUCACCCCAUACGGACGAGCUUAAGGGAAGGCAGGGAUACUACCAAGACAGCUUAAUCCAUUUCCACGGGACAAGCUUACACGCGGCUUUCCCUUUCGGGAAACCCCAAGCACUUAGCACAAACCUUGAUUACCUUACAAACAGUGGGAUGAGCUCCAACGGCCUCCUAGUACAGAGGUGGUGGAGUGAUACAAUGGUAGUGGGGUGUUGCUACUAAUAGUGGGAAUCCCUUAGAGCACUUCCGAGGUGGUGCAUGUCUUCAUGGAGUAUUUGGUGAGUGGAGUGUGGGUGGAGGUCUUCUGCUUCUUCGGUGAUCUUGCUUCGGUGAUGUGUUUAUUGAUUGAUUCCAGAAUGCUUCACCCGACCUCUCAUUUUAUAGCCGCAGCAGAGGUUUCAGGAGACUCCUCAAUAAUUCACCUCUCCUGUUGCCUGGACAGCUGGACGGCGCUCCGCUCCUUCAUAAUUAUCCUGGCUACAGUAGAAUCACUGUUUAUUCCUUUUGUCCUAUCCUCUAUCACGUAUUGUCUUCUCGUGACAUUCUGGAUGCUGCUUGGUAUGGUCUUCCACGCCCAAAUGAUUGAUGUCGCAGACUUCAAUCACAAAAUCAUGGCAUGUAGUAUUAUUCUUCCCCUGGUUGAACUGUUGUUAACACUUUAACAACAGAGGGAAUAUAUUCUCCCGUGAGACAGAAUAUUCUUUCAUGCAAGAUAUUUAUUCUCUUUCUUCAAAUUCUCUGGUUACUAUUCAAAUUGAACGACACUAUUCAAAUUCAGCACACUAUUCAAAUUAGGAAUAUGAACAGCGCUCGAGCACUCACCGUGAGUGGGUGGAGCACCUCAGGAUGAGCAAAAUAUGGCGGCACUAUUCGCUCACUAUUGAGCAACUAUUCAGGGUCGCUUUCAGCAACUAUUCAACACAUAUGGUAUGCGCUUGUGCGUGAUUAGAUCUAUAUCUUGAUAUUAUAUAUAUAUAUAUAUAUAUAUAUAUAUAUAUAUAUAUAUAUAUAUAUAUAUAUAUAUAUAUAUAUACACACACAUACAUAUACAUAUACUCUGUGAAUGUGUGAGAGAGAGAGAGAGAGAGAGCGUGCGCGCGCGCGCGCGCGCGCGCGCGCGNNNNNNNNNNNNNNNNNNNNNNNNNNNNNNNNNNNNNNNNNNNNNNNNNNNNNNNNNNNNNNNNNNNNNNNNNNNNNNNNNNNNNNNNNNNNNNNNNNNNCAAUUGAAACCUGAGGACGCCUAUGGCCGAUCCCUUUCGAAGACGGAGUGGAAGCAGAGCGCGAAGAUGAGCAAGAUGGCGUCCUCGAAGGACGACGUCCGGGACGAACACCGGGUGGUGCUGCGCUGCGCCGCCGCCGCGUCGUCCCUUGCGAUGCUGGGCGGCCUGGGCAUCUUCUUCCUCGCUGAUGACCCUGUCGCGGUCGCGGCCUCUGUUGGUGACGGCGGCGAUGACGCAGUCGGCGAGCAUGGUGAGCAGGAAGCCGACGCAGGCGAGCAUGUAUGCGAAGGGGUAGUGGUUCUUGGUGAGGCCGUGGAAGGUGCUGGCGGAGUCUGCGAGGAAGUGCAUGAGCGCCGUGCCCAGGAACACGCCGGCGGCGAACUGCGUGCCCAGGAGGAGGAAGGCCUCGUUCCAGCGGUAGAAGUAGGGUGACACGCCGCCGAGGAAGGUGAAGACAAACAGGAUGACCAGGCACCACACCUUGACGGCGAUGAGGCCCUUGGAGCGCAGGCCGACCGAGGAGUCGGCCGGCGGCGGCGUGGCGUCCUCGUCGUCUCCGUCGUCGAUCCCGCCGUGGGCGCUCGCCUGCUGGAAGCACAGAAGCAGGGAGAGGAGGAGCAGGGCGGUGCAAAGGAGUGCCGACGACGACGACGCCCUCCUCAUCCUCAUCCUCUUCCUGGUAUGGUAUGGUAUGUUGCUUGCUAUGGUAAUCAAGCAGUUUGGAGGCUUGCAUCUAUAUAUGUUCACCUCCUCAUCCUGCUCGAUCGAUCAAUUGGGGAUUAAUUAAUUAAUUAAGAUGCUUGAUGAUUAAUGAUAUAAAACUAUAUGAUCAUUGCUCAACAAGUCUGCAUCUAUACAUGCAGUACAAGUGGUAGCUGACUUUGGUGAUGGUUGUACCGCACGCUCUAGAGAUGUUUGUACAGUACGUCCGCCUAGCUAGUAUGAAAUGGAUACGAGUACUUGGUUCAUCAUGGGAUUAUUUUAUAUGGAUAGUUUAUUGACCAGUAGUGGACGUUACCAGCUGAACCUUCCUCCAGCAGAUGAGCCACCAUCAACCUAUAUAUAAGUCUUCCUUUUUUUUUGUUGAUGAUGAAGAAUUCAGAGCAACAUCACAGCAUGUAUCCGCUGAUUUUUAAGCCUUAUUGCUUCAAAAUCGUUACAUCGAGUUGAUACAAGGAUCAUGAAACACUCCCACAUAUGGAGAUGUUUAGGUUGUAUCCGCAUGCCACCAUGUCGUUUUGUUAGGAUAUAUAAUGCUUUUACCAACAUUUACGGUAGCUAUUAAUAUUUCGCUUAUGCCAUACAAAUGUAGUAUAUUAAUAAGAGCUUUUUUUAAUACGAAUCAAAUGAUAUCAACUUUGUGUUAGUAUAUGUAUAAUCAUUGGUCAAACAUAAUGCUUAUUUUCUAAACGAACUAAGGAGGAGAGCUGUCGAUUAUAUUGAAAAGAGCACUGAAAUAUCAUGCUCAUCCUAAACAAACCAAAUAAGCCCCUGUAUGUAAUAUAAUAUCAAAUGGAGAGAACGAAUACAAAAGCUGACAUGUCAACUAUAUAUACGUGCUCCUGAAAAUAAAAUGUCAGCGGCAGAAACAGGUCGUCGUGUCCUGAUAUUAUACUACCUAAAUCUAAUAUUAGUACGUGCUGCUGAAUCACCGUGGAUAAUGAUAAUUAUUAGAGAUGAAGCACUCUCGAGCCAAGACAUGGCUCUUGCUGAAAACCCAUGAAUGGAGAGGGUGAGUUUCCAUCUCCGUAUGUUGGCGCUGCUGUUUCAUUUUUCAAGAUGAAAUUUUGCAUUCGAUCAGGCAAUGCAACUUCCGGCCGGCGUUCCUUCAUCUGCUGCGGCUUGCAUUGCCAGCUACUACAUGCAUGCUUCCACGCAUCUGGCUGGCAUGCGGAUCAGUUCAGUCAGCGACGACGACAUCUGGUCUUGAGGACCAUAACUUGGCUUGGCUCUCAUUGGUCCAACCAGUAAACACAUCUCUGAUCCAUGGAUGGAUGGAUGGAUGCAUAUCGUCAUUCAUGGUAGCUAUGCUAUAUUGCUAUGCAUGAUUGAAGAUUCUGCUAUUGACUGGUCAAAUGCAAUGGGGGCCAACGCCAGAAAAAAGGAGGAAAAAAAUUAACAAGGACCAGCUGAGCUAUAUACUGGACUGGAGUAGUAGUACCUUAUUAAUAAUUGCCUCGUACUAGCAAUGAACAUCAGUCGAGUUCAAUAUUUCAUCAUCACAACUUACAUACACACAUACAUAUACAUAUAUCAGGGAAACGAUCAAAAAGCUCCAUUUUCUUCAUCAAAAAGCUAGCCCAAGGGAUGAAUGAAGGGAAAAGGUUCUGCUUACCGUGCAUGCUCUUGGGUCGAUCCAUGGAUUCCUCCUCCUCCUCCUCUUCUCUACCUAGCAGUAGUAUGUACAACAGCAGCAGCAGCAGCAGCAGAAGAAGAAGAAGAAAGAAAGAAAGAAAAAGAGAUGGAUGUGGAUAGAGGAAUUACUGAAGUAACUAACUGGAUCAUCAUCAUCAUCAUCAAGUGAUAACAAUAAAGGAGAUGGAUGGAUACUACUAGAGAGCUAGCUAGUAGUCGCGCCAGCAGACGAGCAUGGAGACGCAUCGGCGGACGAUGUAGAAGCGCGCCCGGUGCUCCUUGACGGCCUCCGCCACGCACUUCUUCUUCGACCCUUGCUGUGGCUGCCGUUGCUGUUGCUGCUGACAAGACGAGGAGGAGGAGGAGGAGGAGCUGCCUGUUCUGGUGGUGGCGACGCUGGCCGAGUAGCUCCGGCUGAGCACGCUGCUGCUACCGCCGGCAGAGGAGGAGGAGGCGUCCGUCAUGGCGUGCGGCCUGCCGGAUCUGCUCCGGCCCUUGCUGGACAACUUCCACUUGUCGUCCCCUCCCGGCGGAUCCAUGGUUUGCUACCCCUUGGCUUGUGGCUUUGUGAUCUGCUCUCUGCUGCUAUUGGCCGCCGGUUAGGUUAGAUUUAUAAUGGGAUCGAUCGACGACUGGAGAAUGAAUGAGUAGAGACACAACAAGAGGAUGGUUAAUUUGGUGGUGAUAGCAGAACACGAGAACAGAGGCCGAGGCUGCAGCAGAGCAGAGCAGAGCAGAUGCAGAUGCAGAUGCAGAGCAGAGUGUGUGGGAGUGAGCAGAGCAGACUCAGCAGAGCAGAGGUGGUAUGGUAUGAUAAUCAGGGUAGCCUGCGUGCACUGUAAUGGGUGGCCCUCUGUAACUCUCUUCUCUCCUGUUGUGCCCGUGUUGCAUCAUGCUAGGCUGCCGUUGGAAUGGACUGCAAUUGGAUGUAGCACGGCAAUCCCUAGCUAGGGAAGGACGCACCAUCAUCAGCAGCAGCAGCCGCCUUUGUUGUUUUGUUUUCAAAUCAGAAAUGCUUUCUUUCCUUUCCUUUUGACAGACUCACAGACUUGAGAGUGUAUUCUUGGCUUCUCCACUCUAACGUUGGGGUGACGAAUCAUCACAUGAUUGCAAAUUUGCAGUGCAUUCACAACAGCAGCCGCCUCCAUUCUUGUUCUUCUUGCUACCAGUAGGAUAGCCGUUGUUGCCACUGCAGACUGCACGCAUGCCUAUGCUCACCGUCGUACCAUGCUGCACAGGCCUGUGUAACUCUGUCUGUCUCUCUGUCUGUCUCCACCAGACCAUCAGAGAGAGAGAGAGGGAGAGAGACUAUUUACUUUACCGUUGUUGGCCUCAGCCUUAUAUUCCUUUUCUCUUUUAUUCAUUCGUUCCUGAUUCCUUCAUCAAUCGAUCAGACAUCAGAAAGGCACGCACGCACGGACGGCGAAAUUAUUUGCAAAUUAUUAUUAUUAAUUAAGGAACCGAUCGACAGCAGUACAGAUGGAUGGGCAUGAUAAUGUAAUUUUAAUUUGCUGCUAUGCUACUUGGAUAGAUAGGACGUUCAGACCUUCCAUGAAUUCCAUCCAUAUAUGAUCCCAACUGAGAAAUCCAAAACCAAGCAAGGGUUCAAAAUAAAAAGUUGCUUCAUGUGGUGGGGCCGCCAGCCGGAGGAGACAGUGUACAGCUAGCUAGUGCUGCUGCUGCAGGGAGGAGAUAGAUGAGGCAACUGGUUGGAGCUGGACCAACCAACACAAGAUCAUGGACACUGACUGACAGCCCAUGUAAUGUAGGGCAGGCCUCACACAUGCUCUUCCUAUCCGACUACACUCCUGCUCUUUUCCUUCUUUUUCUUUAAUCAUAGAUAGAAUAGAUAGGGUGUAUUAAUUAAGAUUUUGUAAGUAAAAUCCUUGAAUCUCUUUAUACGCAUGUAUACUCCCCAAAUGUUCUUCACGGUUUCUAGGCACCGUACCUAUGACGAUACAAUAUUCAGGCGUCAGCACCUAGCUCUUGCAGCAUUUCUUUAAUGGAGCAAUUACCUUGGUAAUUGCAUGCUGUCGAUCGCUUGGUAGCUUAUAAAAUUGUCAUUCCGAUGCUAGCAGCUUGUGCGGUGUCGUGGACCGUGGGCCAGAAUAUUAUAUAUAUUAGCAAGCAGCAGUAUGCAACUAUGCAUCAUCAUUAUUCUUUCUUGGGAUGCCAUCUGAAAUUUGUCCAACAAGCCAGUACCAAAAAAGAAAAAAAAAACAGCACUACAGCAGCAGCAGCAGCAGCCUGGGCCGGGAGUGAGUUUCCUUGCUUCAUCAAGUAGUAAAUGGGCUUUCAGUUUGUCAUCCUCUUGGGCUACAACAACAAUGGGCUGCUUCUUAAUCGUCGUGACCCAUCCUGCCAGCCCAAGAUGAUAUGAGACUACCAGGAGUAGGUGUUUGGCAAAACUAAACUGGUAUCUGCGUCACUGCAUGCAUGUUGCUUGCGCCACAUGCAUCGUAGAUAACUACUCCCUCCGUCCUGCAUUUACAGAGUUCAAAAUUGAUCCAAAAAUAAAUGCAUAUCUAGAAAUGGACCAUGGUUAUCCUUUUCUACUUUUUUUCUCCUCCCAAAGUGGAAUGAUUAUAUCUUUAUAGAAGUAUGUAUACGUAAUUUCUCACUAACAUUGAUCUCUUCACCCAAACUCUAAAAGUGCAUUUAUUUUGGGACGGAGGAAGUAGUUAGCAUUCUUUAACUUCUUUCUUUUCUCUUUGUCUAGUGGACCCCACGACGCAAUAUAUAUCAGAAUUAGAAUCAAAAUCAGAGAUUCAUAAUUAAACAUAUAAUAGCUGUAUAUACCGUCUAGGUAAUUAAACUGGUGGAUCAUAUCACGACGGCUCACAACUUCAGUUUAGGCAGCUCAAGCAGGUACCAAUAUAUAGCAAUACACGCACACUGUGGGUCCACAUGUCAGUGCGUGGGUCACCACCGGCUAUAGCCUACCCACCCAACAGUAUAUAUGUAUCUAAAACUAUACUCCCUCUGUUAAGUGAUAAUAAAUAACAUCGAUGACUGAUGGACUAUUACGUACUCUUUUUAUGGGGUUUGAUUGAGUAGUCAGGUUGAUACGUUAUUAGCAACCAACUACUACAUACUCCACAUUACCUACGGCUAGCUGCUUGGUAUAUCUGCUGGGUUCGGCGACAGUUUGUGAAACAAGAUAAACCAUCAAAAUGCAGCAAUGUUAAUUCAAGUUCCGGUUGCUAAUUAUGCUCGAGCUAGCCUUGAGAAAAUCAGCAAAAAGAAAGAACGAAAACAGAAUUGUUGGUCCAAGGCACCCAGAAUGUUUUGUUUCGGUUAAUAAUGUACGUCGGCAUAUAUAUUCAUACAAUCUGAUUGCAUACAAAUUAAAUGGUUGACACUAUAUAUGAAGGAUGCAUGGGGGCAAUUAUAUUAUAUUAUAUUUCUUCAAGAAUGCAAGCAUGAGUACCUUACCGUAGCGUACCUACCUGGAAGAAGUAGCCAUUGAUCGAUCGUCUCCAUGCUGAUCGAUGUGGUAUAUAUAUGAAAUGAUAUGAUAGCCCUUGAUUUCCAAUGCAGCAUCAUCAAGAUUCCCACACAUGCAUACACAUACACAUACAGAUACGGCCGGGGAUGGCAGUCGUCACGCGCGCAGUGUGUGAAUCUUGAUGAUGCCACGCCAGAAAAUCACCGGCUGAUUAAUUGAUUUGAUGAUCACACACACACAGAUAUAUAUAUAUAUAUAUAUAUAUAUAUAUAUAUAUAUAUAUAUAUAUAUAUAUAUAUAUAUAUAUAUAUAUAUAUAUAUAUAUAUAUAAGCUAGCUAGAAAUAAAGGGGUUAAAAUAAAAUAGGGAGAGUUGGAGGAUGCAUGCAUGGAUUAAUUGGAAGAGAUGGAGAGAGCGAUGGGGUAGGUAGGCGGCGGCCGGGAGGGGAUGGAGAGAUCGGUGAGGAGGUAGGUGCAGUGGAGCCUGGAACCUGGUGGAGAUUGAAAGCUAGCAUGCAUACAUGCAGCUAGAGAUGAUGAUGAAAUCUGAAUAUACAAUAGCAAGGCCGGCCGCUCGCUCAAGUGAAGAAAGAAAGAAAGGAAAGGGGUGGGGGGGCGAUGGAGGAGAGGCUGCUGCUGCUGCUGCGUGCUGCCAAUGGCAUAUAUAUAUACCAAUGCAGAGGUACGGUGGCCAACAAGCUAGCUCUCAGAUCGAUCCAUCCGUCGGGUCCGCUAUUAGGGCUGUAGCUACCUAGAGCUUGCCGAGAUCUAUAGCAGCAGUGUGUGUGCUAUAGCUAUCUGGCUUCCAUUCAUUCGUUGACAACCGAGUAAUUAUUACCAUGGGUGUGUGUUUUACUGUUAGUUGCUUAUCAGUUCAUACGUACGAGGACACGCAUCUGUGGUAGCUACUGGCCUAGUAAUAAUCAUCAGGCAUAUGUAGGUAGCACCGAUAUGAUAUGAUCCAGCAGCAUGCAAGCAACAGUGAGUGAGUGGGCUCGGAGCCGGAGGAGGUUAGACAUCGCCAUCGGAGCAGCCAAAAAGGCGGGGGGAGCUUUUACUCCAUCACCCGCCCCAGCUGCCAUCCUUGGCCUUGCCAGUUGCCAUUGCCAUUGCUGGCUACUGGCUAGGUACGUCGUCCGGUCCGGAACCAAAACCAACAACGCAUGCAUGGCCGGCCUUUCCCUGUGAGGAAACUAAACAGACUCCCAUCCAUGUAGUAUGUACAACUAACGUAACGUCCAUGUCCAUGUCAUGUACGUGGAUGGACGUACGAUCGAUCCAUCCAUCACCAUGCAUGCAUCUUUAAUUUUGCGUUCGUUUCAAGGCAAGCAUGCACAUGUAUUAUACAUAUACAUCAUGCAUAUGCAGUGCCGUUGCAACAGCUAACUGAUCGAUCGACUUGAAGAUGUAUAAUAAGAGUCGUUGCGCUCAUCAGGCAAGGCAAGGCAAUGCUGCAUCCAUUACGACGAUAUAUGGACGGCACAGAAUAGGACCGGACCGGUCGUCAAACCGGUAAGAUCGUCGGUUCAAUGGUCCAACCGUUAUGAACCGCCGGUUCAAUAAUAUUGGACCGUUUAAUUGAACCGUCUACAAAUAUUGAGAACCGAUGCAUACAUACACACACACACACAUAUAUAUAUAUAUAUAUAUAUGAUAAUUUGCAGUAUAUAGUCGGUUUUAAAUAAAAGUAGAUUAACAAAUCACUUUACACCAAUGUCCAUUAUAAGCUAAUUGGGGAACUAGUGACAUAGCCAUUUAGAAAUUUUAGUAGGCUCAAGUUUUUGCUUAAAAUAGAGAUGCACUUGAGGAUUAAGAGCUCCAUUAUAUCAAGUCUUAAAUUAUCUUUUCGAUGGCCAAUGAUAAAUUCCCUGCAAUCUAAGUGUAGUCUGCAUUCAAUUUAUAGAUCAUCGCAAGAAGUUCAAUCACAAAUACGUAGCGGAUAAUGAAAAAAGCAUCUACAUUCUACAAUCUUCGCCGGCGCUGCUAGCUAUGCCCUAUCGCGCGGCCACGCUCGCCGCUCACGGCCGUGCCGUUGCACCGCUCGUCACAGCGCCGCCCAUCUUAAUGCUACUACCUCGCUUCUGCUCCGCACCGCCAUGCAGGAGCCCGAAGGAAAGGUUGCCAUAAGAGAUAAGGUCAGGCGUGAGCUCCACGGACCACCAUGUAAAACUAGCAACGUACACCGCAGCAGCCGAAAGCCGCGGUUUGUUGAAAACCGUCGGUUCACCGGUUCCGUUAAAAACUGGCCUGUUAAACCAUUUUACCGGCACGAUUGCACAAAGGAUCUUUUAAGUGAACUGAGCUGUUGGAGGCUCCGGUCCCUGGUUUUUUCGGUCCGACCGCCCGUCCGGUCCGGUUAUGACAGACAGACAGCAGGAUCCAUGCAUAUAUGAUCUGACCACACCGGCCAUCUGCUGCAUGCAUGUGCCAUUUACGUGCGCGGUGAUCACCAGGCCACCUGAUCGAUUCGAUCGACCACCACACACACGAUAUGAUGGAGUACUACACAUGCUGUACGUGCAUGCGUCUUGUCCUCGUUCCACGUACGCAAGGUGGUUUAUUUGUCAAUGAGUAUAUAACAUGCAUGAUCGGCGGCCUAGCUAGCUUAUGGGAUGUUUGUUUAAUUUGAGGAAUGAAGGUACAUCUUCUCACUUCUCACUUUUUGUUUGGUUCGUGGGAUGAAAUGAGUUCAUCCCUCACAAACUAAUUAAUAUUUAGUAUAGUCAUGAAGAAUGAGGUUAUCCCACUAAAUUUCAUAGGAUCAGCUCACAAUGGACAAUCUCAUCUAGCAUGAGGUGAUUCCCAAACCAAACACACCAUUAAUUACCUAGCUUUUCCUACCCAAUGCAAUGCACCGCAACGCAGGCAAAGCAAGAGCAAGCAGCCCUUCCUUCAAUUCUUUUUCUAUAUCUCGGUAACGGUGAAAAGAGAAAAACAAGCAUUGCACUAUAUCGCUUUGUAUUUUUGCAUUCAGCUGGAAUAUUCCAAACUGUACUGCAAUAGUAUAUAUGCUUUGCUUUGGGAUCCAUCAUCCAUCAUUGUGUCCUUGAAGAGGAAGACAUCCAAUCCAAGAGCUGCUACUACGUGCGUGCGUGCGUACCAUAGUACACAUACAUCAUGCAUGCGAUGCAACCAUAUAUAUUCAUCCAUGUCCAUACAUACAUACAUACAUAUUAUAUAUAGAAAAGGCAAAUUGAAGGUUUGAUUAUAUUUACAGCAUGCUGGACGACGUACGGCGUGGUACUAGUACUAUUUACAGUUGGUGGUGUGGAACCAAAGCGAGCACAUCCCAAGGAAGAAGAAGGCGGGAAGAGCAGUCAGCAAUGCCAGUGUGUGGGGCCGUCCCGUCCAGCCCGCACACCAUAGCUAUUAGCUAGGGGAUGAUGGAUGAUGGAUGGAGAGACUAGUUGAGAGAGAAGAGCCAGCGAGUUAAAUAUAAAGCCUGCACCCGUCACAUUUCCGGUGGGCCGGGGCAGCCAGCCGUCCGAUCCCAUCCAUCUAUCCAUCCAUCAUCAGUCAUCCGUGUCCCUGUCAGUUUGUCAUCUCCAAUUCCCCAACUCUUCUUGCAUUGGACUCGCUUGGCUUUCUUCUUCUUCACGGGUUUGCAACUAUGCCAAAGCAUUUGUUUGCAACUAUGACAAAGCAUGCAAAUGUCAAGUUAGCAACAACCCGGCCAACCCUAGACGACGACGACGACAGCGCAAGAAACAAGGCAGAGCCCGAGGACGAUCUCCGUCAGCAAAACCGAAAAUUAUAUGCGCGGCGCAUCGGCAUCUUGUUGUGUGCAUGUUCCUGAUCGAUCGACAGCCAAGUUUGAUUGGAUGCUUUUCUUUUCUUUUCUUUUGCAUUGCAUUGGGAUGCAUGAUGCAGAUGCAUGCGUCGUCUUUCUCUACCUCACCUCACCACUUGAGUUCCUUGGCUGCAUGCUUCUCCCCAUGGCAUCUUUCAGCAUCUCGCAACUAUUCUACAACUGCAUAUAUGCAUUCUAGCUGUGAGAUGGUGAAUUCAGAUUUCAUCAGACUAUAGCGUGUGAGCGUCGUCUAUUCAGUAUUUACUGCAUGCUACUCCAUGCAGGCAUCUAGCUUGCUAGUUGUAUUUUACAUGUAGUUGAAACUGACAAUACAUGCAUAUGCACUGUCGUUAAAAAGGCUACUAGCUAGCUAGGGAAAUCUUGACCCUGCAGUAGCUAGGUUGCAUACCCAGCUAUGCCCAGGGUUCGGAGUAUAUAUAUGCUCUUAAUUAAUUGGACGGGGAAUGAUUAAUUGAUCCGAUUAAUUAAGCUAGCUUAGGGGUGUUUGGGAGGCAUGUGCUAAAUUUUAGCACCUGCUAUUCAAACACCCCCUUAAUUGCAUUGCAUCAAGUAAGCAGCAUCUUCAGGGCCCGGAUGUUCCAGGCAUGCACGUUGGCAAGCUUCAGAGAUGCGCAUCAUGCUCAUGCUGAGGAUAGGGCCGGGCACGGGCAGAACUGCAGAAGCAUGCAGCACUCAGCAGCAGAGGCCAGAGGGUUAGUUGCAGAACAGAAAUACAUUGCGCGAGCAGAUGCAGAGCAGCCACCAAUGGAGUGCAUGCUGCGUGCGUGUCCAGGCAUAGCAUGCCCUGCUUCAAAGAUGAGGAAGGAAAGGAAAGGAAAGGAAAGGAAAGCAUGCAGAGCCAUGGUGGCCACUGGCUGUGGCUGUGGGCAGGGGGUGUCGGCCACCGGCGAUCUGAAUGCUGAUCGACCGUACCGGCCGAUGGAUGGCCUGCUGAUCGAUCGGACCUGAACAAGACUACAAGAGCAUGCAGCAGCUACCUAGCUCUCUACUAUGUUUUACUAGGUACCUACUAUCUAUACCCUGCUGCUGACUGCUGCUAUAUCACAGUACUGCAUGACUAUAACUGCACGCGCGUGGUCAGAUGCAGUACGUACUACGUUGUUGUGUAACCGCAAAUAGCGUGGAGACACACACCAUGGACGCAGGUACGGUAGCUGCACCCUGCUGCCUGCUCUCCAGUAGAGUAGUAGCGACGCAUGAUCCAAAGCCUGAACCUGAACCUGAAGACGACGACGACGACUAUACUAGCUACUAGCUGCAGGUGAGAAGUGAGAAAUGCCCUGUCCUGUCCUGUCUAGCUCGUCCGGCCACGCAGCUCGUGCUAUUUUUAGGCCAUGUUUAGUUACUCCCAACUCCCAACUUUGACACUAUGCAAAAAGAAGAUUCCCCAUCACAUCAAACUUGCGGUACAUGCAUGGAGUACUAAAUGUAGAUGAAAUUAAAAACUAAUUGCACAGUUUUGUUGUACUUUGCGAGACGAAUCUUUUGAGCCUAAUUAGUCAAUAUUUGGACAAUAAUUCACAAAUACAAACGAAACGCUACAGUGUGCUACAGUGCUGUAACAGUAAUUUAGCACCCCCAAAUUCGCCAAACUAAACACGGCCUUAACUUUCCUCAUCACACUUCACUUCAGUGGUCAGUGCGACCCUGAUGGAUCCAGCACAGCAUCCACGAUGGAUGGCCUAGGCCUCCAAUUAUUUGCAUGCACUGCAAGCCUACUGCAGGCAUGCGUCCAUCCUUCUCGACUCCAUCUAGCUACUUGGAUACAUUUAUAUAUCACAACUACCUGCGACAUCACUCGAUUGAUUGAUUUAUAGGGCUUAACCUUAACCCCUAAUGUACUACUCCCUCCAUUCUGACCUAUUUUCAAAACUCUUUUAAUACUUGUAUUUGAGUUGAAUAUUUGACACUGUUAAAACAUUUCCCCCCUAACAAGGAGUAUAUAACCGGAUGAUCGAUAAACAUUUCUACUUGGUCAUCGUGAACCUCCAAUUAUGUGAAAUAGAUUUAUGAAAAGAGAAUGGAGUGAGCACUAUGUAUCCAUGCAUGUUUCGAUGAUGGAUCAUCUACCCAACUAGGUUACUACUGCGGUCAGGGGGCCUGGGGCUCCAUCAUAUCUCUUAUUAUGGUGGUUUGUUCCGUCUACUAUAUUUAUCGAGAUUCAUAUGUAUCUACGAAUAAAUGCAUGCGUUAUGUUGGUGUCCGGUGGCAGGGCAACUCAAUCCACAUUAUAUUAUUAUUAAUUACAUGCAUCAAGGCAUCACAUUUCCAUGCUUGCUGCCCUCCAAGGAAUUGAAGGACAGGGCUUCUUUGCAGUAGAAUGCUGCAGCUUUGGAUCGGUGUUAAAAUUGGAAAGAAGAUGCUUCCCUCGUAGAAACUUGCUGCUUGCACACUAGUACUAGGCUAGCUAGCUGGUGUUAAAAUCGUGUGCUACUCUUUCUGUUUCAAAUUGUAAGUCGUUUUAUUUGUUAGGUUUAUAGCUUUUGCUAUGCAUCUAAAAUUAGAUGCAUAGAAAAAGCUAUAAAUUUGAAAAGGUUAAAAUAAUUUAUAAUUUUAAAUGGAUGUACUAAUGGAUGGGUAGCGGGUUGAAGGUGGGAAGACAGAGACCUCAAGGGAUUAUCUACCAGCUGCUAUGAGACUCCAAUCCGUCGGUGCAAAGAAGCAGCUAAGGGAGUUGAGUUGGGCCGACGGACGGCUGAGCAAGAAUAGCUGGUCUGGCAGCCUCGUUUCUUGAGUUGGGCUGCUGCCACCUACUUACUAUACUGCGACUUGGGCUGCCAGGUUUCCUUCCAUGCAUCUAUCAUCUUUGUGUUGGUCACAUGCAUGCAUUUGUAUAUCUAUACAUGGUGUUGAGGAGUAUUAUAUGUAUGGGGGACAUAGAUAAAUAUAUACGCAACUCGUCCAUCUUUUAUAUAUAUCUAGAGAAUCAUAUAUCAAAAUUCCUAAAUUAAACAUGCACAUAUAUACGUGUUGGCCGAUCCUACUAGGUAGGUUGUGGAGCAUGUGACAUGAGGAAACAAAAUACUCAACAAGCAUGCAUGCAGAUGCAGUUGCGACCAAACAAUUAUUAAUUAUGAGAAGCAUGCAUGAUGCCAUUGCCAUGCACGCGUUGACGACUCUUUCUUUGCUCAGCGCUUGGCUCUCGGCCUCCGAUUCCGAUCCUUGGCUAGCUUCAAUAUCGAUCAUAAUUAAUUGCAAAUGCAAAUGAUGCAUGCAUGGCCGGGCCCUCGUGCAGGCGGCGGCGUCGGUCACAGGUCAUGCAGUGAAGUCGUUUACGAUGGAUAGAUGGACGGCCCACUCGUACUGAUGCUGCACGCAAGCAAGCUACAUGCUGCCUUGGCCUUUGCGUUGCCUUGAUGCGCAGGUCAGUCGUCAGGUCAACCCUUGUCGUAUCCCCUGGCGCGGCUUGGUCUCCCAUUAAUUGGCUUUGGUCCUUUCCUUGGUGGUCAAUUGAUCAGCACAUACAGGGCAGACACGCACAUGCAUGAUGCAUCUAUCCCCACUCACUAUAUAUAAUAUAUAGAAGAAAAAAAAGUCAACUCUUAAUGCGACCAAAAAAGAAUGAUUAGUCCGAUCCGAUCCGGCCGGUGAAUGAAAUCUACCUGCUUCGUUCCACCCAAGCAAUGCAGCGAGCAAGCUGGGAUGUAAUUUCAAUUAUUCACUCCAGCCGAAGCCGAUACAUUAUUAUUGGUUGGGUUUGGUGGUGAUUGCACAUACAAUACAAUAUAAUUAGACCAUGCUACUACAAGUGAUUGCUGCGCGUGCGUGCGUGGAUGCCAACAAAGUCAAACUACUCCAAAUAAUGCAAUAUAUAUUAGAGUCCUGGCCUCAUCUGAUCGAAUAUAUGUUCAUGCGGCUAGAUCGACAACUAACAUUAAUUCAGGCAUUAUUAUCUUACUUGUAGGUCUCUCUCUUUAUAUUAUGGUAUAUAUAUGAUCGAUUAGGUAUAUACUACCUUAAUUACCCUACUGUUCCAUUCAGUGUGGUUGUUGCUUCUUAAUUAUACAUGCAGCAGAUAUAUAUAGAGAUAGAGACCAAUUGAUCGACCUGCCCUUAUCCACGGCACCAUCUGCCCUAAUUCUAUUCCCCUACUAGUUUAAUUAGGGCCUGUGGCCUGAUACAGUUGUAUGCAUAAUAUAAUUAAGAAUGCAGCAGGUCCAGCAGUAGUUCAACUUGCACGCGCAGCUAGUACCGCCUUUUCUUCUAGAUAAUAAUAUAUAGUAGACACAACGAACUACUUAUAGUACUACUAGUAUUUUACCCCCUCCGCUUCAAAUUAUAGGUCGUUUUAGCUUUUUUAAUUCAUAGAUUUUAUUAUACGCUUAGAUAUACCCUAUAUCUAGAUGCAUUAUAAUCUAGAAAAAGUCAAACAAACCUCUAAUCUGGGACGGAGGGAGUAGUAGAAGUCCACGCAUGCAUGCCUACAGAAUAUAUAGCCUAAUAUAAUAAUUAGUAUAACAAGAUUAUUAUUAAGGGAUCGGACACAAUGCAAGAUACAUAUAUAGGCGGAGUAUUUUCUAAUUAAAUUACAUAUACUUUGUUUUGGUAGCUAAUAUGUUUUUUUUUUGCGGGCAGUAGCUAAUAUGAUAUGAAGGGAUGCGCAUAAUAUUAUCAAGGUUGCUUGAAAGCUUCUAAUAACAAUCAAUCAAACAUGCUCCCUCCCUGGAUGAUCGCUUUAGUAGUUGCUGCUAUUAUUAGCCUAUUAAGAGAUAGAGAGACAAUGCAAAUGCAUUAGUUGCACCGGCGGGGGCGACAUUGCAUUGUUGGGUCAGUUAGUCGUAGUCGUCGUCCUUGGAUUUCUUCCUUCUCCUCUCUGCCGCCGCAUUGCAAAUACUAACAAGCAACCCAAUGCCACCUCUGCAUGCAUGCUUCAAUUCAGAUCGAAGGGCAACUGUGAUGCAUGCUUCAUGGGCAUGAGGGUACAUUGGUCUUUUAGCAUGCACGGUGAAAAAGGCAGGCAGCGGGUUGGUGAGGAAGUAGUGACAUACCCUCAUUGUAUACGCAAUGCUAAGCUAGCUUGUUCCUUCUUCUCUUCUUCUUCUUCUUGUCUUGCUCUCUCUAUAUAUAGCAGCAGCAGCAGCAGCAGGUAGCCCCAGCAGAUCGAUCGAUCCAUUCCAUUGAGAAGCCAUAAUUAAGUAGCCGCCUACCUAGAGCUAUCAGUAAGCCGGCCGCAGCAACAUAUUCGAUUCGAUCCGAUCUUUGGGCCGGAGCAAUUAGCAGCAGGCAGGCAUAUGGAUAUGGAGGAGGAGCAGCUGCUGCAACAAGGAUCAGCCGCUGUGCCGCCGCCGCUCGAGAGCAGCAAUUAUUGGCCGAGCAGCAGCAGCAGCGAGGAGGCGGCGGCGGCAGAGGACGACGGACCUCGGCGCCGGCGGGAGUCCAUGGUCAACAGGCUCAUCUCCACGGUCUACUCCGGACCCACCAUCAGCGACAUAGAGAGCGCGCUCUCCUUCACCGGCGGCGAUCACCUUGUUGCUGCUCCUCCUCCUCCGGCGGUCAUGGACUCCACCACCAGCAGCCCAGUGUACGUAUCUGUAUAUAUUAUAUAUAUUGUUGCAUCAAUUUAGAGCAGUAUUCAUCGUUCACCUGAUGAUCACCUCGAUCAUAUGUAACAUAUAUAUUAUGAACAAUUCUAGGGUUUUCUCCCCGGAGAAGGUGCUGAGCAAGAUGGAGAACAAGUACACGCUCAAGAUCAAGACCUGCGGGAACGGCCUUGCGGCAGAGGAUGGAUACAAGUGGAGGAAAUACGGCCAGAAAUCCAUCAAGAACAGCCCCAACCCAAGGUAUAGAUACAUAUAAGUUAAUUAUUUUUCAAAUUAUCAUAAAUAUGGAGAAAUAGAAUACUAGUACAUACAUAUAAUAAAUUAAAGAACGGGGAAAGAAGAAGAAGAAAAUGCUGGAGCUGUCAUCGUCCCAAGGAGAUGAAGGGGUUGCUAUGUAUGGUGACCCGGAUGGAAUGGAUCCAGCUAGCGAGGCGAAGCAACCAAAUAAAGCACUGGCACUGGCCUAGCUAGCUUUCCCAACUGAAAGAAAAAUUGCAUUGCCAUCUUCAUCUAGUGCUGUGCUGCUACUUACUACUCCAGCUAGCUGGGCAUUAUCCUCUCCCGAGCCAUUAAUAAGCUAGCUGGGCAUUCAAUAAAUUGCUUAAAUUAAUAUCGGCUAAUAUAUGCAGGAGCUACUACCGUUGCACGAACCCUCGGUGCAACGCGAAGAAGCAGGUGGAGCGCUCGACGGAAGAGGCGGACACGCUGCUCGUCACCUACGAAGGCCUCCACCUGCACUACACCUUCAACUACUCACCCCAACAACACCACCUGCUGCUGCCUCCGCCUCCACCAAGCUGCAGCAGCAAGAAGCCCAAGCUGCACCCGCGCGGCGGCCCACUUGCAGAUGCUGAUGCAGGAGCAGCAAUCCUCCAGAACAGCAGCAGCAGCCCGGCCCAAGAAGAGUCUAUGAUGAGCAGCAGCACCACGAGCAGGUCGUACUAUGCUCCAGCUUUGGGUGCCUCAUCACCACCAUCAUCAGAAGCAGCAGCAGCAGCUGCUUGUUAUUUCGACAAUGCUACUACUAGUAAUAAUGAAGACGGGCUGCUUGGGGAGGUGCAGUUCCUUCGGCAGCAGCAGCAGCAGCAAGACUACUGCUGCUUUGUUGACUUUGAGGAGCAGCAUCGUCGUCAGCGGAUGGCUAACAGCAACAGUAGUAACGGCGGCGGCCUGCUGGAAGACGUUGUUCCGCUGCUUGUCCGGCGCCCAUGUAUCAGCAGCAGCUCCAGCUCGCCGGGGAUCACCACCACCGCCGGCAGCCCGUCGCCGUCCCUGUCCACGUCGUCCUCCGUCUCAUGGAACCCCUACAUCGACAUGGCCAUGCUCUCCAACAUCUUCUGAUUGCAAUUGUGCAUGAUGCAUCAUCUUCUCAUUACUAUAUAUAACAACUAGUUCGAUAUAUAGAUAGAAUAUUAUAUAGACAAGUAUUAGUAGUAUUAAGCGUAUGCAUUAUUCGAGUAUACUAUUGUACGUUCCUGUAUGUACGUGCUGCAUCACUAGGGAAUAAUCCAAAGGAAAAAAUUUAAAUGUUGCUUGCAUUGCUUUAAUUUGUAACACUAUGUACGGCAAUGGCUUACCGGGAUCCUAGCUAAGAAAGGAGGCUUGGGAUGGAUGAUGGGCCAAGUAAGAGCGAGCCCAACCCAAUACUGGUACUGGGCUGGGCGUGGCGGGCCCAAUAUUCCAACGGCUAGUUAGUUAUCCUCGUGCGGCGUGGACCCACCGAGCAUCCAUCCAUGACCAUCUAUCUUCCCCUUUCUCCUGACCUCCUCAUCCAAGUCAAUCCUAGUGACCGUUGCCGCCGCUCCCCCUCCUUGUUCUUCCCCCUUCUCGCCGGGCAAUUGGCAAGGAGAGACAGCGGCGGCUGGCGGGGGCACGGAACGGAGCCAGCAACCGGUCGGCAACCACUGCCGAUAGAUCGACGAUGGCGGUGGCCGACGCCAAGCCGCGCCUCAACGUGCCGCCGUCCAUGGCGGCCGCGCUCCGCCUCGAUCCCGUCCCCCUCUCACCGCCCACCUCGCGCCGCCUCGCCGAGGCUCCCAAGACGCCCUCCCCAUCCAAGACCACCUACAGCGACCGCUUCAUCCCCUGCCGCUCCUCCUCCCGCCUCCAGAACUUCGCGCUCCUCGACUCCCCCUCUUCCAACUCCAAGGAUGAAACCACCUACUCCCGCCUCCUCCGCGCGGAGCUCUUCGGCCCCGAUUCGCCUGGUCCGGCACCCGCGACCUCCCCGGGCCCCGCAUCGCCCAACACCAACCUCUUCAGAUUCAAGAAAGACCACUCCGCCGCCACCUCCCCCUUCGCCGCCGCCCACCAGGACUGCACCGCCGGAUCUGGGGAGCCCACGGCGUCGCCACAGAAGCCGCCCAGGAAAGUCCCCAAGACGCCGCACAAGGUAUGUAGGACUAUUUUCUGCCUUCUUUCUAUUCUAUUUCUAUAUUCCUCGCCGGCAGCCAAUCCCACAAACACCUCGGCAGGUCCUGGACGCCCCGUCCCUGCAGGACGACUUCUACCUCAACCUCGUCGACUGGUCCUCGCAGAACAUGCUCGCCGUCGGCCUAGGGACUUGCGUCUACCUCUGGUCCGCCUCCAACAGCAAGGUCACCAAGCUCUGCGAUCUGGGGCCCAGGGACAGCGUCUGCGCCGUGCAUUGGUCGCGGGAAGGCUCCUAUCUUGCCAUUGGCACCGGCCUUGGAGAUGUCCAGGUCUGCCUUGCUUUGCUGUGCUUUACUUUCUCCAUUUUCUAUCUGCUCAAAUAGAAUUCUCUGCAAUUUCAACUUCUUUCUCAACAAACAGAUCUGGGACAGCUCGCGCUGUAAACGGAUUAGGAACAUGGGAGGUCACCAAACACGCGCUGGGGUAUUAGCAUGGAGCUCCUGCAUCUUGUCCUCCGGUAGCAGGGACAAGAACAUAUUGCAGCACGACAUCCGUGUCCCCAGUGACUAUAUCAGCAGCUUCUCUGGUCAUAGAUCAGAGGUGAGACUACUUCCAGUAGGCAUAAAUGACAUCCUGCAAUAAUUUUUGGAUCUCAGACCUCUGUGUUUUUCAGGUCUGUGGACUAAAAUGGUCGCAUGACGACCGUGAGCUUGCUUCCGGUGGAAACGACAACCAGCUACUAGUAUGGAACCAACGAUCGCAACAGCCAGUGUUGCGGUUGACGGAACAUACAGCUGCGGUUAAAGCAAUAGCGUGGUCACCACAUCAGCAAGGCCUCCUGGCAUCAGGAGGCGGAACAGCUGAUAGGUGUAUCAGGUUUUGGAACACGGCUAAUGGGAAUCUUCUCAACUCAAUAGACACAGGCAGCCAGGCAAGUAGUAGUUCUGAAUGCAAUCCACCACUAGGGUACUGUCGUCCUGCUAUCCUCACCAUUUUUUUCCAAUUGUAGGUUUGCAACCUUGCCUGGUGCAAAAAUGUGAAUGAGCUCGUGAGCACACAUGGGUAUUCCCAAAAUCAAAUCAUGGUGUGGAAAUAUCCAUCUAUGUCAAAGGUAUUGUGGAUCUCAGUACUUGACAUAUCUUGAUAUAUCAGUAAGCCAAUUGUAUGAUGCUUCCUCUGGAUGUACUUCCAGUUUACGCAACUUGCUUUUUCUCGGCUUGCUUCUGAUAAACAACAUUUCAUUGCUGUGGGCUGAGACAUUGAAUUAUGGAAUGCUUAAAAAAACAGUGAAAUGUAGACUAAGCAGCAAUAUACACAUGUUAAGGUAGCAUAGCACAUUGUAGCUAUCAGUACCUCACCUCUCUUCAUACAUCAGUAAGAACACUGGACAUUAUAUAAUUGUGUCCUUUGGGUAUGAAGCAUCGAAAGCCCUCCAAGGAGGCUCCGUCUGCAAGUUAGUUAACAAGAGUUUUCUUUGAUGCCGUCUAAAAAGAAAAGUCAUUUCUUUCCGAGACAUUGGCUUGCUGGUCGCUUAGAGCACGAUAGAAAUGUAAACUAAGCAAUGAAAACCAUUUGCCUGCGCACAGCCCAUGACAAGGUUAUGUGCUUCGUAAUAAACAGUGUUGAUCUUGUGCUGUGGUUGUUUGGAAUUUUAAUGUUAAGUAGAAUAAUAAAUGCUGUAUUUUGGGAGAACAGGUUGCAACUCUAACUGGACAUACGAUGCGUGUGCUUUACCUUGCAUCAUCGCCUGAUGGCCAGGUAAAUCUGAAUCCAGCUAGUUGAAUAUUUGUGCAUCCUAGAAAGAAAUUAUGUGAAGGAAGAGAAGUUAGAUGAUGAGAUGUAAUUUGCAGACCAUAGUAACAGGAGCGGGCGACGAAACUCUACGAUUUUGGAACAUUUUCCCAUCAGUGAAGACACAGGUAAUGCAUGCACCUCUAGCUUGAGAAAGAAUUGAGAAUUCGGUGACGACGUCGUAACGUUGCUGAUCCCCUUGGUGUUUUUGCGUUCAGACUCCUGUCCGUGAUAUUGGGCUGUGGUCGUUCUCAAGAAGCCACAUCCGGUGAUGAGCGGGCCUGGGCCUGGGCCUAGACCUAGACCUGGAGGAGGCAAACAAGAUGCAGAUAAGCUUAUUUGUUGGGAAGCAAGAUACAGUAAAUUGUUUACAGGCGUGUGCACAGGUAGCUAGUUUGUUGAGUGUUUUUUUUGUUGUUGUAAAAUGUGAGGCCUGAUCAUUCAUUGGUUCAUUGUUGUUUUUGUUUGUGUGUGGGGGGUAAAUUAAUGGAUUGUUUGAGGUAGAAAGAAAGAGUCGGGUGAUGAUGUAUCAGAAUACUUGCUUGCUGACGAUUGACAAAAUAGAGAUAAAACAGUGAACUGCAUGUAACUGUUUGUAUGUGUGGGCGACUGACUUGACUUGUUCGUAAUUGGAAAUGAGUCAUUUGUGUUUGGUCCCUUGAAGCAUCAUGUAUGAGAACGUGUACCUCUCUCUACUAGUCCUCCUCUAGAGUAUGAAAAGGGCAUCAGAUGCUGCCUGUGACGCUUUUCUUCUCGAGAAACAACAAGGCCGGUGAAAAGUCCGUCCGUAUCGCAUGUAUGAUCGACCUUGAAGGGAUAGUUGAAUUCGUUCAUGUCAUGUCAUGCCACACGCGGCGGCAAGCCAUGCCCCCAUCCCCAUGCACACUAUUCUAUCAUUGUUUCUUUUGAACAAAGCAAAUCGUACCUGCAAUGGUGUUGAGUUGAAAUAAUAAUAAUAAUAAAAAACUAGAGUGGACGGUGAGAUCCUGCCAUGCUCGUGCUCUCACGCACUGUGCUUCCUCUCCCUCCCUCCCUCUCUGCUCUUCGCCUCUUCCCCACGCGAAAGCCCAUGUCUUGGCACAUGUCCAUGCCCAAGAAAGAAUUUAAUAAUUAAAUAAAGAAAAGAAAUUUCCACGCCACCUUCUUUUUCUUUCUUUCUUUGGCCGGUCUCCUUCAUCUUCCAUCCCAUUCCCACAGGAUUCCCGCAGCGAAGCCGACCUCCUCCCUCCCUUCCUUGCUUGCUAUAUAUCCUAGGGAAACCCAAAUCUCCCCAUAAACACCCUCCAUUCCGUUCAUCAUCUCCUUCCUGAGCUGCGCCCGCGCCCGCGCCUCGUCGGAAAACUAAAUCUGGUUGGUAACUCUUCUUGUGGAGAUUGCUCAAACAUUCAGGCAUCCCUGCUCUUUCCAUUCCGGAUCUUAGCCUUGUUUCUCUUCUCCACCAGAGCGGCCCAAAUCUCGCGCUCCCCAACGUCCCACAUAGUAUCUAGUAGUAGAUCCAAGCCACAUCUGUUUCUUUCUUUCUUUCUUUUUUCUUUUUGAAACGAAAUCUGUUUCUGUUGUUUCCAAUUUUUGCGGAUUAUCAAACAUUGGUUACCAUGCCCUGAUGUCCGUCUAUUCUGCAGAACGCAAUGGACUACGACGGCAGGUACAACAAGGAUCAGAGCCUCAAGUGUGACUGCCUCCUCUUCGGUAAUUUCUCCUCCUCCUUGCCAUCGUUUCCAUGCCUCCAAAGAAAAGAAGCAACGCCGUAUUCGUUUCAAACAUGCAUCUUGUCUCUUGUAGACCUCGAUGAUACGCUGUACCCGUUCGCCUCCGGCAUUGCUGCCGACAUCGCCAAGAACAUCAAAGGUACAACCACCCUUCUUAACCAACCAUCUCCUCCUCGUUGCAACAGGUGAUAGAUGCUCAUGAGGUCUACUCUACUCUUCAGAUUACAUGGUGCACAAACUCGGUGUUGAUGAGAGCGUUAGCUUGGAACUAUGCAUCCUCCUCUACAAGCAGUAUGGAACCACCAUGGCUGGUUUGAGGGUGCGUGCUGCUAAUUUCUACACAGAUGAACAAACCUCCUUGUGUUUUUCUAUGUCUCCUUGCGUUCUGGCACUAAACCUUGCUUCUUGCUAUCUUGUUAUAUACCAUAGGCUGUUGGCUACCAGUUUGAUUACGAUGAUUUCCACAGGUACUGGAUUCUCUGCCCAAGCUUCCUUGUUUUGUGACUCUGCCAGUAAUUUGUACAGAGGAUAUUCAUCUUCUAACUGCCUCACUUGCUUUCUGCAUCAGCUUUGUUCAUGGAAGACUGGCCUACGACAAGAUCAAGCCUGAUCCAGUGCUUAGGAACAUUCUGCUCAGCUUACCCCUACGCAAAAUUGUAUGUACCAAAAACUCAACAUCUAUUCUUUUAUAACAGAGACUAACUAGUAUUUGAGUGAUAAUUUUCUAGCUGUGUUCCUAGGUGUUUACAAAUGGUGAUAGAAUCCAUGCUUCAAGGGCCCUAAAGAGGCUUGGAAUUGAGGACUGUUUCGAAAGAGUUGUGUGUUUUGAAACACUGAACCCAACAUCUCCUGCGCUGUCUGACAAGCUUGAAAUCUUUGACAUUAUGAAGCAUCUGGCUCAUCCACAACCCGGGGUGGAGCUACCAAAAUCACCAAUCCUGUGCAAGCCAUCAAGAGAGGCAAUGCUGCAGGCCCUCGAGGUCGCCUCCAUUAAUCCACACACAACUGUAAGCAGCUACCUGCUCACUGGCAUGAUCAAAAGCUGAUGGGUACCUUGCCUUACAUAUAUUCAUGCCAUGGUGUACUAGUAACCGACUCUCUUGCUCGAAACACCUUCCAGAUAUUGUUUGAUGACAGCUUCAGGAACAUCGAAGCUGCAAAGCAGAUCGGAAUGCGAACCGUCCUGGUAAGGAAAUAUCCCUUGUGUUUGAUGUUAGAAAUUUUUGGGGCCAACAUUGAUUGAGGCAAAAAAUGUAAUGCGAGUGUGAUGAAUAAAUGUACCAACCAGGUUGGAACGUCUGAGAGAAAGAAAGGUGCUGACUAUGCCUUGGCAAGCCUCCACAACAUGAAGGAAGCGCUGCCUGAGCUGUGGGAGGAAGCUGAGAAGGAUGAAGAUGUGAGGAAUUCGAGCAAAGUCGGAAUAGAGACAUCUGUGAUUGCAUAAUAUCUUCUUGCGCAGCCCUUUUGUUUGCCGUGGAGUUGAGCACCUUUUUUUGGGGUAGCCCACCUCUGCACAAUCUUUUGUCUGAAAAAGAGCUACCGAUGAGAGGACAAGAAAACCAUCUCCUCAAGGGUUGGGGACUGACUGAUACUAUAACUGAUGUUACGUCCCACGUCCCAUAUACCAUCCAGUAAGGAAUAAAAUGUUUCCUUGAGGUACUGCAAUAGCAAUACUACUACUUGUCUAUCAAUGAAAUACCGCAGAAAUACUUUGUCGUGAUGGGUUGGGGACACCUGAUUGUUGUACUCGUGAUGGAUAGUUGAAGCACCUUGAUGUUUGGAUCCAAAUGCCCAGCACUUUGGUACUUGGUUCCUCAUGCUUAUGAUAGUGAUUCACUCUUUACUUCAUUAUUAGACGCUCUAUGAUGGCUGAAUGAAGCAAGUUGCCCUGGAGCCACUGCUCUGUGUGUAGAACACUGAAACCUAGUUUCAGAUGAGCAGUUCUAUUUCGGGUACAGUCAAAUGCCAAGCCUUAGAUCACGCUGGAUCAGAUCAGUGCCAUCAAAAGUACAGUGUGAUCGAGUUAUCCCCAAAUUCUCAUGUGGUACAGGAGUACACUUCAACCUACACAAUGCACCUUCUUCCCAGAGCAGGCAGGCUGCAGACGAUUUUUUCCCUGAUGCAAGGCCACAAUAAACUAUUACUCUCCAUGCACAGAAAUAAGUGGGUGUGUGUUUUUGUCUCUGGUGACAUAAUUGGUUCUAGAAGCUAUACAUCCUAGCUGGUAUGGCAUUGCCCUAGCUGCAAGUAUUUUGAUUAAUAGCAAGCUUGUGAUGUCCAAUCGUUUGAUUCAUGAUCAUAGAACAACACUUGACCACAAGAAGAGAAUUCACUAUUAUUCGUGGGCUCGGAAAGCGAUGUGUUACCAGCAGGCAGAGGUCCCUUGGCAUUGCAAUUGCACAGACAUUGUGUACAGCUUAAUUAAGGGAUGUUGUUGCUCCACAAGAAAAUAAAUAAUCCCAAAAGAAAACAGAAGCGACAUAUUGAUUUCCCUAUGCUCCUUUAAUUUGGUUGAUAGAGUUUCUUUGAAUGCCACUAUAAUGCUCUAGACUAGAGUUAUCUGGUCGCUGGAUCUCCCGAUAGUACAACUUGCAUGUAUACUAAGAACAGUCUGCGCACGGUUUCAUGACACAGUUACCAAAAGUCAGUCUUAGGCUAAUCCCAGUGGAGGUUUUAUAGAGGUUUCAUGCACAUUAAAUGCAGUGACACAUCAGCAUAUGUGAUGACAUGGCAUGAUAGUUAUGAAGUGAUAGAGUAAAGAAGUUUCAUCAGGAUGAAACUGUGUAUACACUGUUUACAAGACUAUGAAACUUGCAUUGGGGGCUAUAGAGUUUCAUUCCAUCUAACCAUAUCCAAUCACAUGCCUCAUAAUUAAAUGUCAUGGUUAUCCUAUGAAAUCGUGAAAUGAAACUAUGCACUGUGACUUUUUGUUUCAUUCAUGAGAAUACACCUCAAGGGAUGAUGUGGCAUCCUUGGAAACAGUGCGAUGAAACCUUGCACUGGGACUGACCUUAGUGCACAAUUUCAUGACACAGUUACCAAGACUGAGAACUAGUAAAAUGAAACUUCCUCUCCUCUCUCCUCAUAAUGACUUUGCUACGCCAGCAAAUUUGUUGAGGUGCAAUGUUAUUUAAUGGUCAUGAAAUUUUUGAUGAAAUCUCCACUGAAACUGGUCUAAUGAUCUAUCUGAUAAAGAAGGCAAAGUGGUUGUGUGUAUGAUCUCAUCGCGUGCUCAGUUGAGUGCUCAGUUGAGAAUACAAACUUUGUCCAAUCUUGGAUUCUUAUAGACCAUCAAGUCAUGACAUCUGAGAUAAUAAUAUUUAAUCAACAGAGUGUUUUUUUUUGUCUCAUGUAAUGUGUUAAGCCAGCUUUUCCUUGAUACGUCUGACCAAGCAAGAAAUUUAAACAAUUCUUUCACCGGAUUGAUACGACAAAACAGAAGGGAAAAUGAGGAGAUAUAACUUUUAUCACAAUACAUUGAUGAGUCAUAUUAUGCACAUAAGGAAAUUUAAUGCAAAAUAAAUACUAAUCCGCUGCUUCAUUAAUUAGUCUAGACCUUUCUUUUUACAAUUAUGUGCUGAAUUACCCUUCAACAAAUGCAUUUAAUUAACUGCAACGUAGGAGCUAGCUGAGGAGCACACAAUGCUCUGCAUCAAAAAAUUAUACACCACUGCCUAUAUAACACACUAGAAAUUAACUAAUCCGCGUCCUCAUGCAACCAAAGCAAUCAGGACCAUGAAUGUGUCAUAUCAGAUCUGAAUGGGCUUAAACCAGACAGAAAUGCAAAGAAAACAGUAUUGGAUCGAUUAGCACAUGUACAUCCAUCUGGGUCCUACAAAUUCACCAAUAGUAGAUCUACUGGCACACAGUAAUAUAAAAUGGUAAUUAAAUUCGAAUCAGACACUAGUGAGAAAUUGUCAACGUUUGACUCAAGCCAGUUAGCUCACCCAACACUAAAAUGUUACAUGUAUGUGUAUGCAUUUCAGUUUACCUUUUUUAUAUUAUUUAGUAAAACACGAGUAAGCUACAGUUACUUGUUACUAAUACCAAGUCUUUAGAGUGAAGAAACAGAAUUAACCGGGAAUAGCCGGUGCAAAGUGACGUCGACCCGCCCAGCCGGUGACAAGUGGGGGGGAAAAAAGGUGUGGGUGUGGUAUAAAGAAAAGAAACAGAAGAGAAGAGGAUAGCUGGGGUUUAAGCCAGGUGAAGGGAGGAGCGGGUGGCCUCGAGGGUUUUUCAUCCGCCGAUCCAGGUAACUGCAAGGCCAUGGCGCCACCACAGAUCAAAGUAAAAAAAGAAGAAAUCUUUAUUCCUUGCGCCGAUUUCCCCCCUUCUUCCGUGCACUGUUCUUGGAUCUUCUUGUUUGGUUGGGUUCUUGGUGGUUUGGUGGGGGGUUGCUUGAUCUGGUGGGAUUCUUGAAAUUCACACGAUUCGAGCCCUUUCCUUGGGCGCCCAGCUUGGAUUUCGUCGGAUUUCUGGUCAGCGGGUUCGGGUUUGGUUUCCCGAUUCAAUCUUGUAGCUGCGAGGUUUUGCGUGCUGGGCUUGAAUUGCGCGGGGGUUUAGACGUUUAUGCCCGGAAUUUUGUGGUAUCUUCUAGGUGGACGGAUUUGAUAUGACAUCCAGAUCAGGACCUGUCCUGCAGUCUCUUUGUUAAUUGGAUUCCCGAUUGGUUUCGAGGGUAUUUGUGUCUCAAAUUCUGAUGGACUUUUGCUUCUAUCAUGUUUGGUCGGUCCCCUGAAUUUUAGCUGAUUUCUUAAAGUCUAUGGGCUUCUGAACGUAACACUCCACAUUUCAUAGAAGGCAGUGUACAGUUUUGUAAUAGUCUCAGAUGUUUGCAAUAGUCUGUCAUUUGAACCAUCUGAUUGGAGUCAUGAUUUCUGUUUAAGUUGCUCAAAUGUUUGUAAGUUUCAGCAUAGGUUGCUGUUGCUCUGCCCCAAUCAGGAUGCUGUCUGCUGUGUUCCUUUUGCUGUGAUGUGGUUUACAGUUGGGUUUCUUUGUCCAUAAUUGUCUUACUAGAAUGCACACAAGAUCUGCUUUGGAUCUGCAAACUUACCUUGUCGAUUCCCGUGCAUUUGUCCUUUGUCUUGAUCUUUGAUUUAUUCACAGGAACCGGAGACAAAGAAUCCUGCUCAGGUGCUCAUUCUUUGGAUGAUUCAUUUUGGAUGCUCCGUGGAGGUGAUCUCCCUCUCCUUUAUAUCUUGGCCAUUUCUUGCAAUUGCAAGUUCUACCACAUCCAACUACCCAGCUUCAGCUUAUUCUGGUAUAUAUGUAUAUGCAAUCUCUAUGUAAUUUCAAUAAUGCAAGCCAUCUUGUCACAUCCGACUGCUUUGGAGGAUUGCUAAAACUGGUCUUGUUCCAUUCUUUAUUUAAAUAAUUAAGUCCUUUUCUAGUGGUGCUAGAUUUGUUCCCAGUACUUGUGUGAUCAAUAGUGGGUGAAAGUUUAUGAAAUCCGAGUUGAUUUCGUGUAGGUAAAGAUGAUAAAUGUGGUAUUAGCAGUCCUUUGCUGUCAGUGAAUGCUUGCUGUGUAGGUGACAUCAAAAUAUGGUGUCACAGAAGAGGUUGGGCUAUGGAUCCCGUGGCCGCCAAAUUCCAGCUAUGCCACGUGUUCCAAACUCAGUUCGGGUAUGUAGCUUUUUGAUUAUGUGUUUCUUUUGCCACAAUUUACCUAUUGAAUCUUCCUUAUUCGACUAACAAUUGUCCAGGGAAAACGCACGACGAGAAGAAAGAAAAAUGAGAUGUGUGCAUUUGAUUUGCUUGCGAGCGUCGCCGGGACGCUAUUAACAGAUCAGGACAGUUCAUCUUAUGUUCCUAAUACUAGCGGAGCAGCAACAAGUUAUGCCAGAAAUAGGAAAUCAGUUAAAGAAGAAUACUUUGAUGAAAUUUUGCACCUGAAAAAUGUGGCUGUGAAGAAAGACUGUGGCAGUGGGUGUGUAGUGGGCUCAGGUGGUGUCUCUGCCUUACCUAGGAAAGGUAAUGACGGCCUGGCUGAAAACUCAUUGACAAGAAAUGAAGAUGAAUCAGUACUAAAGUCACUAACAGUGAAAUCAAAUAUGCUAGCUAGGGACUCAUCAGUUAGAUGUACAAGGCCAUGUGAAAUUAGUCGUGGUCUUGGCAUAAUUUGUGAGUAUGGAGCUUUUGGAGUAUUCCAUCCAGGAUCCUCAAGCUCAGCAGAGGCUGGACAAGCGCAUCAAGCUGAACCCAAAGUGAUCAGAAGCAAAGCAGACGGGCAUACUGCAGCCCUUGACAGCUUGUUUGACUCUGUGGAUCUGGAUGGCAGACCUCCUGCUUUGGUUAGUUCUGACAGUAGCUCAGGUGUGCUUUUGUGCAGCCAUGACAAGGAACAUAAAGCCGCUUCCUUGUGCCAGGUUGAAAUGCAGCAUACUGCAGAUAGAGAUGAUGACGAAAAUUCUUCUGGGUGCACACAUCCAAGCACCACAGGAAAUGAGGGUUACAAACCGCAUUUUCUAGGUAACCAUAGGAUCAGGAAAUUGCUUGCCUCAAAGGUAAGGAAGGCAGCACGUAAUAAGACUUCUGGAGGGAUGUCCAGCAAAGGUAUGCCAAUCCCAUGGUGCCAAUCGGUGUUUCCUCUACGUUCCUAAUUCCGAACUGCUCCAUAUUUGCAUAGAGAGAACCGUCUUCCUUUUUUCUUCUCUAAACCAUUAUGGCCACUAGCCAAUGCGGCAAUGCAGGAACUAAUUAUGGGCUAGCGAUUGUUUUGCUCAACUAGGCAGCAAGCUAAACUUCUGCGGGAAAAAGAUACCCACCACACGUCAAAAGGUGCAAAGGACAAAUUUCAAGAGGAAAAAGCUAGCGCGAGGUACAACGCCAUUUGCUAAAGGGAUGCUAACUGGAGGUGUGUUAUAUUGUUAACUCACCUUUACCUGGUAAUUUUGAGGCCUUAACGUCUUUAGGAUGAUGCAGACAUCCAUCAUCCAUUUAAUAGCCUUCUAUAUUCAUUUAUGACCUCAAUCCUUGUUUUUGAUUCACUUCCUAAAAGAAAAUGUGGCUUGCCAUUUCAGCCACCGGGACAUCAUUCCGUAUGCAAGGUCAAAAUAAAUCAUGUGGAUCUGAGGACUACCAUGGUAUUCUUAGAUAGUAUUUAGCGUUAUGGAUAGUUCUAUUAAAAUCUAUGAGCAUAAUGGAUUAUCACUUUUUUUUUUCUAUUUUCAGUUAAGCUAAGGAUCAAGUCAUUUAACAUCCCAGAAUUAUUUGUUGAGAUCCCUGAAACUGCAACAAUUGGUUCAUUGAAGGUAAUUAGGUAACACUAUAUGGGCAUGUACAAGUUACUGAUUAUUCAUGCGUUCAUUUGUGCAGCCUACCUUUUGGUGUAGCUGUUGUUAAUAACUGUUAUAGUAUUAUUGAUGAAUCUACAAGACCACGUAGUUCAUUUAACUUGGUGAAUUCUCGAAUAAUCAAAUGAUUUAUUGCACAUUUACAAUGUGAAAUAAUUGGUCUUUGCUAUAGUCCUAAUUGUUACACUAUACAGAGUAUUUUUCUAGCUGGAACUUUCACCUUUCAUUGCAGAUGAUUAUAAGCUCCUUGUGAGUGUGCUUGAGUAACAAUUUUCAUUUGUCUAUAGAGAACCGUGAUGGAUGUUGUCACUAGUAUAAUGGAAGGUGGCCUACGUGUUGGUGUUCUUCUUCAAGGAAAGAGUAUCCAAGAUGACAGCAAGACACUACGUCAAGCUGGUAUAUGCCAUGGUGAAAAACUAAAUAACAUAGACUUCACACUGGAAUGUGAACGUCAGCAAGAUUCUCCCUCUGGAGUCAUAAUAGCAGAAGAGAUGGAUUUUGUCAGUGCAGAUAUUGUGGAACCAUUAGCUAGGUAGGUGACUUGCAGUACAGUUUUCUCUUGGGUGUAGUGAUUGAAAAAUAGCAACAGGAUGUAGCUUUAAUAGUUUAUUUCCAACGCUUUGUUCUUAAGUGUUGAUACUAGGCAUCCAUUUGCAUGUUUUCAUUAUGUUUGUACCUUGUCUACAAAUUCUGGAGCAUUACCAAACCUAAUUAUCCAAACUAAAUCUAAGGACGUGAAUAUUCUAUGUUUCCAGGAUGAAGUAUGAAGAGCCAUUUCCUGGAACUAAAGGCGGUGGGGGCAACCAGCAGCCUAUAAAGGCGUAUCCAAAUGACUCUUUCGCUGGUUGUGUUCAUCGUCCUGUUGAAAUGGCCUCACAAGAUGCAUCAGCAAGCUUGCAAGCCAUAAUCCCUGUUGCAGCUUCAGACUUGAACGCACUAGCCAUUGUGCCUAUUUGCAAGACCAGACGAUCUGAAUUUGGGCAAAGGCGUACAAGGAUGCCCUUCUCUGUUGGUGAGGUUGAGGCACUGGUGGAAGCUGUGGAACAGCUUGGGACCGGAAGGUCUGUCCCCUAUUUUUCUUGGUUUCAUUUUAUUCAAGGUUAGUGCUAAUGGCAUGCUAACUCAUGUUGGCUGUUGUUCAUUUUCUGUUCAGGUGGAGAGAUGUUAAAAUGCACGCAUUUGACGGUGCUGAUCACAGGACAUAUGUUGACCUUAAGGUGAUUUUAUUGAACAUAAUAUGUUCUUUGUUUACUAUUCAUAAUGAGCCGUCAACUGAAAAAAUUCAAAACAAAAUAUAGUUGUUACCACAAUUUAUUUGUGCUCCACUUCAAUGCUCUGUUGGUGAACUAAGCUGCCUUUAAUCUGUUUCUGUUCAAUCGGCCGCACGAAAUCUGUGGUUUUUCUAACAUACUGCGGAAUACUGAUUGAUGAAUCAGGACAAGUGGAAGACCCUGGUGCACACAGCAAGCAUAUCCCCACAACAGCGAAGAGGCGAGCCAGUUCCGCAAGAACUACUGGACCGUGUGCUCUCAGCGCAGGCCUACUGGUCCCAGCAGCAGGCAAAGCUUCAUGGCAAGGCUCCUCUUCCUGAGAUUUGCCUUGCCUAGAAAGAGGAAAUGCUCGUGUAAAAAUUGUGCCUAAUAAUAGAAAGGUAGAAGGGAUGUGCAAAGGAAACAGACUAAUUUGUGUGCUAUUGCAAACUUGUAACAUUGUUUUUUUCUUCUUCUUUCUUUGGUCUCUGUUGAAGCCAGAGGCUCUCUCCUCUGUGGAUCAAUAAGGGAGAGAACCUUGUUUGGUACUUGUAAAUGAUGCUGCAGACUAUUGCUGCCAUGUUCCAUAAGAAAACAUUGAGCAUAUAUAAUAACACUGUUGUCAUUGGGCAUGCUCGAUGCGUAUGUUAUCUUGCAAAUUUUGUGCUGACACUACAGGUACUAUUUUGUUGAUUUUGGAUCCGUCGUCAAUCUGAGGGGGUGUUUGGGAAACCCCUGUUAAAGUUUAACACCUGUCACAUCGGAUGUUUGGAUGCUAAUUAGGAGUACUAAACAUAAGCUAAUUACAAAACUAAUUGCACAGAUGGAGUAUAAUUCGCGAGACGAAUCUAUUAAGCCUAAUUAGUCCAUGAUUUGACAAUGUGGUGCUACAGUAACCAUUUGCUAAUGAUGGAUUAAUUAGGCUUAAUAGAUUCGUCUCGCGAAUUAGCACAAGGUUCUGCAAUUAGUUUUAUAAUUAGCUCAUAUUUAGUCCUCCUAAUUAGCAUCCGAACAUCCGAUGUGACACUGUUAAAGUUUAGCACCUCAUAUCCAAACAGCCCCUGAGACUGAUGAUGAUGGCGCAUAUUCAAUAUCAUCUUUGUCACAAUUCCAAGGGUUUAGGCCCAUGGACCAACCAAACCUGGGCCAUCAUUUCAUCCACUCCCCCCAAUACUGGCCGCGGCCCAUCGUUUCCUUACCGCAGGUACCUUCUCCAGUAAUCCGGUCGGUUGGCUCACCGGCCGACGAGAGACUCCGGCCGCCGGCUCGCCGCUCCGCCACCGAACUGAACUGGUGGAGCAGAGCAGGAGAUGGUAGAGUAUGAAUCUUGCGGGGCCUCUGUCUCGCGCGCCCUCCUCAGUCGCUUCCUCCUGCCAAGCGCGCAGUCUCGCCCAAACCCUGCUCUCCUGCCUCGCCGGCGACCGCCUCCGCCGCCUCCUCCCGGCUGCCCAUGCCCGCGCCGUCGUCUCGGAAGGUCUCGAUGACCUGUUCCUCGCCAACCUUCUCCUCCGCGGCUACUCCAAGUUCGGGCUCCUCCACGACGCCCGCCGCCUGUUCGACGGAAUGCUGCACCGCAACCUCGUCUCCUGGUCAUCGGCCAUCUCCAUGUACGCGCAGCACGGCGGCGAUGAACAGGCUCUUGUCCUCUUUGCAGCGUUCAGGAAAUCCUUUGACGAGGUGCCCAACGAGUUCUUGCUUGCCAGCGUCCUGCGGGCCUGCACGCAGUCCAGGGCUGUUCCUUUCGGCGAGCAAGUGCAUGGCACAGCCUUCAAGCUUGGCCUGGAUGUUAAUCUCUUCGUUGGCACCGCGCUGAUCAACCUAUAUGCAAAGCUUGUCUGCAUGGAUGCAGCGAUGCGGGUGUUCCAUGCCCUCCCUGCCAAGAACCCGGUCACUUGGACAGUUGUCAUCACUGGUUACUCUCAGAUUGGCCAGGGUGGACUUUCCCUAGACUUGUUUCAAAAGAUGGGGCUUCAAGGUGUCCGUCCAGACAGGUUUGUGCUAGCAAGUGCUGUCAGUGCCUGCUCUGGGCUUGCCUUUCUGCAGGGAGGCAGGCAAAUACAUGGUUACGCUUAUCGAAGUGCAGCAGGAAUGGAUGCUUCAGUGAUCAACGCAUUGAUAGAUCUUUAUUGCAAGUGCUCCAGACCGUUAGUGGCUCGGAAGCUGUUUGAUUGCACAGAGAACCAUAAUCUUGUGUCUUGGACAACAAUGAUCGCUGGUUAUAUGCAGAAUUCACUUGAUGCUGAAGCCAUGGACAUGUUCUGGCAGAUGUGCCGGGCUGGAUGGCAGCCAGAUGUCUUUGCUUUUACAAGUAUCUUGAAUUCGUGUGGCUCAUUGGAAGCUAUAUGGCAAGGAAGGCAGAUACAUGCCCAUGCCAUAAAGGCUAAUCUGGAGACUGACGAGUAUGUCAAGAAUGCUCUCAUUGACAUGUAUGCUAAGUGUGAUCAUUUAACUGCCGCAAGAUCUGUAUUUGAUGCCUUGGCGCAUGAUGAUGCAGUUUCUUACAAUGCGAUGAUUGAAGGAUAUGCAAGGCAAGGUGAUCUUAAAGAAGCGCUUCAUAUAUUCCGUAGAAUGAGAUAUUGCUCCCUAAGGCCAAACCUAUUGACCUUUGUUUCGCUCCUUGGGGUGUCAUCAUUUCAGUCAGCUAUUGAAUUGAGCAAGCAGAUUCAUGGUCUCAUCAUCAGAUCAGGAACUUCAGUAGACCUAUACGUGGGGAGUGCUCUAAUUGAUGCCUAUUCAAAAUGUUCCCUCGUGGAUGAUGCCAAGGCUGUGUUUCUUAUGAUGCAAAACAGGGACAUGGCCAUCUGGAAUGCUAUGAUAUUUGGCCACGCGCAGAAUGAGCAAGGUGAAGAGGCAGUAAAGCUCUUCAGCCAGCUUCGUGCCUCUGGGGUAACACCUAAUGAGUUCACAUUUGUAGCACUAGUAACUGUGGCAAGCAACUUGGCAAGCAUGUUCCAUGGUCAGCAGUUUCAUGCUCAGAUCAUCAAAGCAGGUGCUGACAUUAAUCCUCAUGUUUCAAAUGCUCUUAUAGACAUGUAUGCAAAAUGUGGCUUCAUUAAAGAAGGAUGGUUGUUGUUUGAGUCAACAUGUGGGAAGGAUGUCAUUUGCUGGAAUUCCAUGAUUUCAACAUAUUCACAGCAUGGUCAUGCUGAAGAAGCCCUUAGAGUCUUCCAGCUGAUGAGAGAGGCCGGAGUAGAACCAAACUAUGUGACUUUUGUUGGUGUGCUAGCAGCAUGUGCUCAUGCAGGUCUUGUUGAUGAAGGUUUACACCAUUUUAACUCUAUGAAAACAGAGUAUGGUAUUGAACCAGGUACCGAACAUUAUGCUUCUGUGGUCAACAUUCUCGGCCGGUCAGGUAAAUUGCAUUCUGCUAAGGAGUUUAUUGAAAGGAUGCCAAUCAAACCAGCUGCAGCUGUUUGGAGGAGCUUGCUGAGUGCCUGCCGUCUCUUUGGUAACGUUGAAAUUGGGAGGUAUGCUGCUGAGAUGGCACUCUUGGUAGAUCCGUUAGACAGUGGACCUUAUGUAUUACUGUCAAAUAUUUAUGCCUCCAAAGGGCUAUGGGCUGAUGUGCAGAAGCUAAGAUUGGGGAUGGAUUAUGCUGGGAUGAUGAAGGAACCAGGUUAUAGUUGGAUUGAGGUGAUGAUGGAGGUUCAUACGUUCAUUGCAAGAGGUACAGAGCACCCACAGGCAGAAUCGAUAUAUGCAGUACUGGAUAACCUGACGAGUCUACUGAAAGAUUUUGGCUAUCUUCCUGAUACCUAUGAACUUCCAUUGCUUGGGGAUAAUGGUUAAUGCUACUUGCUCAGUGGUUAGCAGUUACUUCCAUGAGAUGGACUAUUCUAAUUCGGUAUCGACACAAUAUUGAUUCCGGUAUGACGAGGCAGUGAUAUAGUGGCUUUAGAAUGUUACUGUGACUUACUGACUUACAAGUUACAACUGCCCAUUCCAAAACAAUCUCUCUGGUCAAUGGUCACUACUUAUGGACCAAGAUGAGCAUUGGAACGGAUGAUAAGAUAUUAAGAGAGAGAUGGAUAGAGAGAAAAUCUGAGCAGUUUACUAUUGACUCAGAUCUUUGAGAUUUGUAACUGCAUAAAACAGUUGUUGGCUGUGAAGCUUCACCGAUGCGCAUAACUCAGGUAACGGCAUCAGAGUUGCAUUUGAAAAGUUAAUAAUGUUAAACUGAUUCAUUCACCGAUAAGAAGAUAUUGUUUACAACUAUUUCAUUGGCCAGUAACUGAGGUAAACCUAUGUGCUGUAUUCUCCUGACUAACUGGUUUUCCCUGAGGCAAAACAAAAAGAGUUGUAAAAUGGUUAUUGAUGAUCAGGACAAGUGGAAGAACCUGUUGCAGACUGCAAGUAUAUCGCCAUUUCUACAAGGACUUUUUGACUUCGCCUGGCGAAACCCAGGGACAGCAUCCAAGCAAGCCUCCAGUCCCUGAAAUUUCCAUUGUAGGGAGGAGGGUGUCCAAAAGAAUCUAGCAAAACUGUGCAUAUUCUAAACUCACGAUUUGUAGUUUCAUCCUAGUCUUGGCUAGAUUUGGCCCUUGGAACCAGCUCAAACUUCGGUGUAUUUCAACACGACCCAAUGCUUAUAGACCUAUUUGUCAAAACAUUUCAGUUCAUGUGCUUCGUCGCUGGGCAGAACUAGGAGCAUUAGUCUGGUGAUUUGCAACUUGAGUCACCUUUACGUAUUUGAUUUACAAUGAAUCUUCAGGGACGAUAUAGUAUUUGCACACUGUAUUUGUGGACCCUUAAAUCAUUUUGGUCUGGCAAAUAUGUUAACCAUGUCAACAUGUAAAAUUACAAGCUAAAUUUUGUAGAAGAACACCUCAAAGGCUCAAACAUGCUUAUAAUACCAAGUUUAUUAAGAAUAUUAGGUAAAUGCAAAAUUACAAACAGUGAAACCGAGAGGUACAAUGGGAGUUUGAGAUAGAAAUGUCAAGCAGCAGACAAAACAUUAUACAGCAUUGCCUCUGUAUCAAGUUGUUAACAGAGGGACUCAAAAGUUCAUAUUUGAUGCCUGAUCAAAUCAUCUCCCACACAGAGGUGCUUUAACUUUACUGUACAGAUCUCCGCGGCCCAUUGCUGUUGGACAGAGAGAAUAGGAAGUCGCCAUGGAGAAUGGUUAAUCCUCCAAGAUGGAUCAUGGAUCUCGCUGUGUCUUAUCUAGUGUACAUCCUGCUGCCUGCUAGUCAGUUUGCCCAGCCGCAGAUGAAUUUGCAACAGGGAGCCAGCCAUCUGAUGGCAACUUUAGCAGCGUUCCUACAAUCAAUAUCCAUAUUGAUUUAUUUUAUUAACACUGAGUGCUGCCUUUCUUUUUCUACGAACUAAAUUACAAUUACAUGUGAGCUAUACACAAGGAGGAUGAUAGGAUGUACUCACAACUAUUCGUGGGGAACGACGCAUGUUACGUACCAUGGAACCAGGGGAUGCUGCUGAUUGGGAUGAUAGUCCUUUCUUAGUAGGAAUUUUCAGAUUCUUUGACCGACUUCGAGUGUGCCUUUGGUUGGUGCUGUUUUCACUUCUGGAAUCGAGUGAUAAGGCUGAGAGUGAUGAAGAUGUUAUGGAUGACAUGUCAGGGCAAAAUGAGAUUGCCGAAAGGUUUCCUGCAGAAAGCACAACCAUAGUUCUGAAUAAAUAAUAUGAUGACGAGUUAGUUGAUACGUUUACAAAACAAAUAAUUAAUUUAACACUUCAAAAAAAAUGAAAAAACUACCACAAUACCAUGCUCAAUAUUCCUGAACCUGGAACCUCGGUCAUGAUUGAAGUUGCAUUAAUAUAGACAUUCUUUUCUGAAACAGAAUAGGUAAUGAGAAUAUGUAGCAUAAAGUACCACUAAUUGUAGCAACCUGGAACCUCUCUCUCAUGGUCCUCACAAAUUUGUACAGAUCAUUGUUGCAGUUAAGAUCCUUCACCAAUUCUUUGGAGCCAUCCACAAAGGGAACACAAUGGACUACUGUUAUCAACAAGAGAAAGAACUUCAACAUCUAUGCAUAAAUGUAAAUCACUAAAAAGUAUCAGACGAUUCAGCUAAGAAACUUGUAACUCACAGAUGUAUCUUUCUUCAAUAAGCUUUAUGCAAAAAGAAUACUCCCUGUCAGGACUUUGCACAUCAAUUUUGCUGAACACAAAUUUGACCCCUAACAAGAAGGUAUUUGUCAGACGCUAUUGCAUCAACCUAAUAUACUAGUUAACCAUGCAACUAAAUUUCCAUUACCUUCUCCUCCAACAACUUGAAAACCAAGAAACUUAUCGUACCACAUGAUCGCUUUCUCUAGGUUCUUGUCCCCUUUCGUAUCAUUCUCAGCUUCAAGGGAUUCAAUAGCUGCCAUCAAAACAAGAGUACAUAAGGCAUAUAGGACUCAGAUUAUGCUUAUCCCAGGAAAAUGUUCAAGAGAAAAAGAAUCGAGUUCACAAUAACAGAGAUAAAGUGCAUAUAUAAAAGCAAACCUAGAGCUGAAUAAAGCAAUAGUAUCGCAUAUUGUGUAAGCAUAGAUUAAAAAGACUGUGCCAUGGAAAGUGAAUGGCAGAAAUGGUGCCUACUUCACUUUAUAAUGAUAAGGAAAUAUGAUUUACCUUGGAGUUGGUUUGAUAUGGCAUUCACAUAUUCAUCUCUUCUAGCCCUCUGAUCCAUGACCAAGCUUCUAAGCUGCUCAUUUGUUGCAGUGGUGUUGAGAAUUGAUUCGCUCAUGAGCUUGUGUUUUGACCUUUUGCUGGUUUGGACUGCGGGGCAAAAACUUGGAUGAGAUGCGAUAGACAAUGUGGUCUAGUACGGGACCAAGCAGUAGCAAGAAAAUAAACGAAGAAAACAGAAAAUGCCCAAACGAAUAAUUAGCCAUCUAUUUCUAUCUAUGUAUGACAAAAGGCAGUGAGAAAUAGACGAUGAUACAUUUCAGCAACCCGACUAAAAAUCGCAUGGAAAUGAGGGAAUGCUUGUGCUCACCGGAGAGGGCUUGUGCAAGAUCUGCUUCUAAUUUCCGGAGCUGUUGUUUUAGGUCAUUGAGCUGUGCUGCAUAACUCGGAAAACACACAGAUGAGUAAAAGUAAAUUUCCCAGAUAUUUCAGAUUAAACAAAUACUAGUGUUCAUAGAUAGUGAUGACGGAUUGUUGGGCUCCCUGGGCGCAGCGCAGUUGGAACGUACGGAAGUAGUAGUAGGAAGCAGGUGAGGAGAAAGAAGGCAUGCCUCGGUUGGAGACGGUUUGGUUGGCGAUGGAGCGCGCCGAGAGGAGGGCGGCGCUGAAGGCUGCGGCGGUUGCGGUGGCGCGCUCCUGGGCGUGGGAGAUCCGGCGCUGGAUGGCGGCGCGUUGGUCCUGCAUCCUCCGGAGCAGAUCGACGGCGGGCUCCGCCGCCAUGGUGGUGGUGACUGAGAUGAGAGAAAUCGGCAGGCGGAGUGGCCGUUCAAAAUUUUGGGGGGUCUUUUUACAAUGAAUGCUUCUUGUGUUCCUUCCCGUGGAAGCCUCCACCAAACACACACAACCGGGCCCCCCAGUCGGUCGUGUCGUCGUCUAUUGGGCUGGGCUUUGUACCUUAACUGGGCUGGCCAAGCCAGCCAGCCCAUUUAACUGGGGGUUGCAGCAGUUGCUUUUCUUCCCCUCCCCUCCUCCUCCGGCCACGGCCACAGACUGCCGGCGAGAUCCAGGAUGUUCGGCCUCCAGGCGAGCGGCGCGGCGGCCUCGUGGGUGGUGGGGCGGAUGGGCACGGAUGCGCACCUCUACGAUGACCCUGACGACGCAUCCAUCCCCGCGCUCCUCGACUCCCGCUUCGACGCCGACAAGGUCGACGCACUCAAGCGCCUCCUCGCCCUCAUUGCCCAGGGCGUCGACGUCGCCCACCUAUUCCCGCAGGUCACUUCCCGUCGCUCUUCUUCUUCUGCUGCUGCUCUCACUGCUAAAUUCAAUUCACCCCCUGUGCUCUGUCACAAACAACAAACGCAUUCCGCCGCCCAGGUCGUCAAGAACGUCGCGUCGCAGUCGCUCGAGGUCAAGAAGCUCGUCUACCUCUACCUCCUCCACUACGCCGACAAGUACGUAAUCAUCACCCACGAUAUCCCAUACUACUACACUUCGGUCAGUAUGCGGUUCUCACUUCUUUUCCUCGCUGUCGGCUCUGGCUCCAGGCGCCAAAACGAAGCCCUUCUUUCCAUCAACAUUUUCCAGAAGGAUUUAUCAGAUAUAAACCCACUAGUCAGGGCUUGGGCCCUGCGCACCAUGGCUGGCAUUAGACUGCAUGUCGUUGCUCCCCUCGUCCUGGUUGCUGUCAAGAAAUGCGCCAGGGAUCCAUCCGCGUAUGUUCGAAAAUGCGCUGCCUAUGCACUUUCUAAGCUCUGCGACCUGCUUCCGGACCAAGCUACGACUUUACAGGAGGUUUGUCUACCAUUACCACCUUCUUCUUUCUGCAAUAACCUUACAUACCAAACGCACCUCAAGCCUACUGCUGUUGCAGAUUGUAGACAUCUUGUUCGACGACAAUUCCCCUGGAGUAGUGGGAGCUGCCGCUGUUGCAUUCAAGUCGGUCUGUCCAACUUGUCUACCAUUGCUGUCGAAACAUUUCCGGAGGCUAUGUCAGACACUCCCUGAUAUUGAAGAAUGGACACAGAUCAUUCUUAUUGACAUCCUCUUGCGGUAUGUAAUAGCUAGGCAUGGCUUGGUCGAGGAUUCUUUACUCUCCGCUUCAAAUUUAUCUACGGAGGUUCAGGGUAUCACGGAGUCGGGUCCUGUUGCUACCAUGCCCACACAACCUGAUUCUAUCGGCAAUGGGGUUUGUGGUACUAUAUCAAACAUCAUGCUAUUCCGGCACUACAUCGAAGAAUAUUCAGGUUUUCCUGACAGGCAAGGCAAUAAUUCGAGCUUUUCAUCUGUCACCACUAACAUCAACGAUGACGUUGCACUUCUUUUGAAGUGUACAUCACCUCUUCUAUGGAGUCGAAAUAGUGGAGUCAUCCUUGCAGCAGCAAGUGUGCAUUGGAUCAUGGCUCCUGUUGGGGAUCUGAAGAGAAUCAUUGGCCCGAUUUUGUUUACCCUGCGGUCAUCUCCUGAUGCAGCAUAUGCGGUACUUCUUAGAUACUUCAUUUUUUGUUAAUGGCCAUCUGAAAUUUUUAGUGUCAUACUCUAAUAGUUCAGUAUUAGGACUUUGCUUCAUUCAGAAUAGUCACUUCUUGAUCAGAUCAUUUGAAGAAGUCCUAGUCUUUGUUUUGUUUAACAAAGAGCUUCUGUUCAAAGUGAACUUAUGACCAUGAUUUAGAAUUUCCACAAAAGGGUAAAGGAGGCUACCUGUAAUUUCUCCAUGACUUUCUCUUUCAGUGGCCCUGUGUGAGGGUAGAAAUUUAUAAAUUGAACUUGAAAUUGAGUUCCUCCCCCCAGAGUAUUGAACAUUAAGUUCUUUCUUGGCUUACAGGAGUUUGAUAGUUUUCAUCAUGCAGUUUCUCACUUUGACCUGACCUUUCCUAUUCUUCUGCUAUUGCAGAUGCUUGGCAACAUACUAGUUUUUGCUAAGACAAUGCCAUCAUUGUUUGCCCCGUUUUAUGAGGACUUUUUUAUAAAUGCUUCAGAUCCAUACCAGACUAGGGCUUUGAAGCUUGAAAUACUGACCACUAUUGCCACAGAGCCAUCCAUUCCAGCCAUUUUUGAAGAAUUUCAGGUAAUUUCUUGUAGAUGCAAUGAACAAUAGUAUAUCUAUCUCUUGGUUUUUGUUUUAAACUUGCAAUGAUGUAUUUACGCCCCACAUGAAAUUUAUAGUUGAACUUUUGCUAAAUCUUAAGGUCACGUAAUGUUAGUACAUAUUUGAAACAUCUUUUUCAAAGACAUGUUAGCUUUGCUUGUUUUGUUGUGUCAAUGAUUCAUGCAUGGUUCUGGAAAUUAUUUGUUGCUCUGUGCUUUGCUUGAUGUCAAGUUCUCUAAAAUGCACUCUUGGGGAUUAUCAAGGGAACUUUGAGUCAAAUGGCAACUUAAAGUCAAAUCAGCAAGAUUUAAGUAUUGCUAUCCACCUGCAAUUUGGUGAAGAAUUUCAAUUUUAGACAAAGUGGUGAAUACUAAGUAUUUGUCAUUCUGUUAAUGAAUCUGGUGCUUUCUUUCUGCUACCAGGAUUACAUUAAAGAUCCAGAUAGGAAAUUUGUAGCAGAUACUGUUGCAGCUAUUGCGUUGUGCGCCCAGAAACUUCCCUCUAUUGCCACCGCUUGCCUUGAGGGACUUUUGGCACUUGUAUUUUAUGGUAAUAAUUUUCAUCUAUGAAUAUUUUGGUAUAAAACAUUCCUUUUGGAAUUAAUGUUUUAUUUUGAUCAUCAUAUUACAGAAUCGUCUAUUUGUAACUCAGUUCACUUUGAUGGAGAAGAUGCUGUUCUGGUUCAAGCAAUCUUGUCAAUCAAAGCAAUAGUGAAAAUGGAUCCAGUAUCCCACGAAAAGGUACUAUUUAGUUAAUCUUGUAAUGCUCCACUUGUGUGUGUGUUUUUUUUUUCCUUUUGGCCAAAAGUUUUUUUCCCAACCCCCAGCUAAACCCAAGUUUUACCCAGGUUGCCUAUUCUUUUUGCUUUCCAUUUUAGGAAAGAAGCGCCUGAUGUUCUUUUUUCUUCAUGAGAGCUUAUCCUGGUUCUUUUAGCCUCUUGACUUCUUUUUUUCUUAAUUUACCAUCCAUCAUGGGGGCUCUGGAACUCAUCCCCUAUCAUGCACAUUUGAUCACUGCAUUUUAACUGACCUUGUAAUGCUCAUUCAAUAAAACGUUCUCAGAUGUGUCUAUUAUCUUGGUUGUACCGUACAACUAGAUCACCUUUUUGUCAUAAUCAUCUGUCGGUGAUAAUCGGUAGCUUGUCUACUCAAGUGUGAAGAACCUAUAAAUGUUCUAAACAACAGAAUUGUUUUGUAUUUCUUUAGUUGGUUUAAUAAUCACAUUUUAUAGGCAUGCUGUAAUAUAGAAUCACUGUUAGAAUUGUAUGGGAGAAUAAAUACAGAAUAUAUAUCACUCUAUGUCACUAUCUGCUAUUGUUUGAAUGAAUGCAUUUCUUCCCAGCUUGAUAAUUAAUCUGGUACCCUCACUAAUCCUUUUACAAAAAUAUCCGUUAUUUUUUUCCCCUUGAUGUUGCGAUCUUGCAUCUUCGCUAAAUUACUUCGAUGCAGGUAAUUGUCCGCUUGGUGCGCGGUAUGGACAAAAUUAAGGAGCCUGCAGCACGAUCCUUGAUUAUUUGGAUGUUUGGAGAGUAUAACUUCAUGGGAGAUCUCAUUCCCAAGAUAGUUCCUGCUGUUCUCAAGUAUCUUGCAUGGUCCUUCACUGUUGACGUGGUCGAAACUAAGCUUCAAAUCCUAAAUGCUUCUGCCAAGGUAUAUCCUAAAUUAAGUUUGCAGCUCAUGUCUAUAUCCUAAAUUAAGUUUGCAGCUCGUGUCUAUAUCCUAAAUUAAGGUUCCAGCUCAUGUCUGGAGAUUGGUAAUAGCUUACCUUUUUCAGGUUGUAAUGCAUUGUCCGGAAGAACAUGCGGAAGAAUUCAAAAGGAUAGUUGCAUAUGUCAUUGAGUUGGCUACAUAUGACUUGAAUUAUGAUGUCCGUGAUCGUGCUCGUUUACUUUCAAGACUUUUGCCGUGCUCCACGACUCACCUAGAACCCUCAUACCAACCUCAGAAUGGCGAUAUUUGUAAAGAGCUUGCAGAUCAUAUAUUUGAUCGAAAGUUGCAGUCAACAUCUCCUUCAGCAAGAAACUAUCGCAUUUAUCUUCCAGGUUCCCUUUCACAGGUUGUUCUUCAUGCAGCUCCUGGUUACGCGCCACUUCCAAAGCCUCAAAGUAUGGAAUUAAGCCAUAAUAAGAUCAUUGAAUCAACCAGAGGCAUAGCCAAACCUUCUGGAAGUAAUAACUCUGAUGCUGAAUCUGGAUCUUCAACAUAUGAGAGCAGCUCUGUUUAUGAUUCGGAGAGUGAAGAUGAUGGCUUAUCGGAUGGGGAUACUGAUGAAUCCCUUCAUCAUCAAGAUAACCAGGAUGCUCCAGUGGUACACAUAUAUGAUGCUAGUGUACAGCAAGGCCAGACGCGUGAAACUGCUGAUGAAAAUUUGGCAGAUCUGAUCUCCACUGAUUUAACUGAGUUGAUGUCUAAGUCAGCCUUGGAAUCUUGGCUUGAUGAAGCUCCUGCUGAGCCACUUGUUCAGAAUUCGUCGCAGGCAUCAUCUGCCAGAGUUGCUUUUACCAAUCGCAGCUUUGAGCGAAAACCUAAAUUGCAUACACUGUUGGACUCAUCUGACAGUAAUGGCUUAAGUGUUUUAUAUGCCUUCUCAUCUGAGGUUUCGCCCAGAUCACGCUUGCUAGUAUGUGUAGACUUAUAUUUGGAGAAUGUUACUACACAACACUUGACAGAUAUAACCAUUAAAUCUGAGGAGGCUUCUAGCAGCGUGGAUUCUACAGGCCAAACAUUGGAAGGAUCUGUGAGGUAUGUAUCAUCUUCAUCUGUUAUUCAACUAUUUCUGUGGCAGCAUUCACAUGGCCAGAUGUUAUGGUGACAUUGUUAUAUUGAUUUGGUUAUCAUCUUUUUAAUGGAAAAUGAUUUUCCACUACUCGUAUAUCCAAACAAUCAUCGGUAACCAACACCUGUAUACAAAACAGCAAGACUUAUAUUAUUUCUCAGCCCAUUUAUGGUAUUUUCACCUGCAGUGCCCCCACUAUUGUUCCUGUGGAAGAGAUACAUUCAUUGGCUCCACAACAAACGGCCAAGAUGGUUCUUGAAGUCCAUUUCCAUCACCAUCUCUUGCCUCUAAAGCUGUAUGUGCUUUGCAAUGGGAAAACACAUCCAGCAAAACUUCAUCCAGAUAUUGCUUAUUUUGUUCGGCCACUACCUAUGGACCUAAAUGCUUUCCUAUGCAAGGAAAACCAGUUAAGGGGAAUGUUCGAGUAUGCUAGGAGGUCAGUGAAGUUCCACCUCGUUUAAUAUGAAAUUAGGUUCCCCUGUCGAUGAUGUGUGCUGAAACUAAUCUGAUGAAUUUGCAACAGGUGCACAUUCAAAGAUCAUCUUGAGAAGCUAGAGCACAGUGAUAAGAACCUUCAAGUAGCCCAGAGUGUUGCAUCAAAAAUACUGAGCAACGCCAACGUGCACCUUGUUUCAAUGGAUAUGCCAGUUACCUUCAAUGUUGACGACACAUCUGGCUUAUGCUGGAGAUUCAGCAGUGAAAUCCCGAGCACUUUGAAACCUUGCCUAAUUACGAUCCUUGCGGAAGGGCAUGCCUCGGGGCCACUGGAACUUACUGCUAAGGUGAAUUCUGAAGAUACGGUGUUUGCCCUGAACCUCCUGAACAGAAUUGUGGCAAUCAUAGAGGCGUUAACUUUUUAGCUUUUUGAGCUUUCAGUUUGUGUCCGCACAGUAAAAUUGCCAAGGGUAUAGAGUAGCACAAAACAAAUCAUCAUUGAAGAAAUUGGUCGUGAAUAUCUCCCAGGGAGGCGAUACAAUGUCUUCUUGUAAAAAAAAAAGACAUGUUUUUGUAAGAUCUAUUGAGAAUUGUAAUUCGUGACAUCUAAUGUAAGCUGCCUGGGGGUGGAUACAACGUCCUGUUGUAAAAACGACCCUUUUUUUUUUGGCAAGAUCUGAGACAAGCAUGGCUACUGAGAAUUGCAAUUCAUGACAUCCAAUGUAAGCUCUGUCUACAUGAUUUAGUGAGGCACAACAGUGUUUCAAAAUUCCAUAGCUGUCUGUCUACAUAAUUUGCUUGACUUAAUAGUUGCAAACUUACAACACCUAUUUUCUCAUUGAAACAGAAACCUCGCAUUCCUGAAACGGCUUUAAAAAAUGUUGUGAUGAUCUACACGUACUCCAGUCCUGCCAUCAAGCAGGUACGAGGCUGGGCUCUGAGGGCGAAGAUUCAAGAAGCGGAUUCUUCUGGAAUUCAUUUCUCAGCUGACCACAGGCUGCGUUAGCAUCUAGCCCCCGGGUCUGUCGAACACUGACAGUUAUCUUCCGUGCUUCUAAUGCAUCAACAAACGCUUGAACCUAUGCAGUUUGCCAACAUAAACAUCAGUAACUCGCUUUUGAAGAAAGUUUCUUUCCAAAGGUGCUGCGCCUGAGACCGAGGAAACAUACCACUUUUCUGUAUGGCCUCUUGUAUUCAGAGCCUUCAAUUGGAUUAUAGGGAAUUAGGUUCACAUGAUAACCACCUCCACAUGUAUGAAGCAGUUCUGCAAGUUCUUCGGCGUGCUCCUUUUCAUCAUUGAUCCCAGCUGGUCACAAAAGUCACUUCAUCCAUAUUAGCACGAAAAGAAGGUACAGAAUAGAUAGACAAUAAACACAGUUCAACAAUAUUUUCUCCAAAAACAGAUGGGUACAGUGAAGGCACGGUCAGAGUACCUAGCAGAGUGUACUCGAAGGAUACCCUGCGUCCAGUUUCAAGGAAGUAACUCUUGCAGUCAUCCAUUAGUGCUCCCAAGGGGUAAGACUUUGCGCUAGGAACAAUUGUUUCGCGCAGCUUCUGGUUCGGGGCAUGCAGGCUGAUUUACGAUAUGACAGACUGGUCAGCAAGAAAUUACAGAAACAGAGCAGCAUGUGUUUCCUAGUCCUAUCUCCUAUGCGUUUGAGAAAACAUUGUUCAGCUAAAACUUUGUGGUGCCAAAACUUUCAGUCAAAUACAAUUGGCUUCAGAGUUUCGAAAAUGUUAGCUGGGAAACAAUGAAGUGUGGCGAAUGCGAAGUCAGGUUUAGAUUCUUAAUGAUGAUGUACCUCACUGCCAGUGUUGACUGAAGCUUGUGAGAUGCUAGCAUUUUUAUUGUGUUGGGAACACCUACUGUGGAGAUUGUCAUCAUCCUUUGCCCAAUUUUGAGUUCCUGAAAGUAGAAAAGCUCAUGUUGGCGAUACAGAGCAGAAGGAAGACAGCCUAGUUACUUGUCAGCAGACCUUAUUGAAACACCUGUGUGCUUCUAGAACUGACUUGAGGUUCAACAUGGGCUCGCCCAUCCCCAUGAAAACAACAUUUGUGACCCUGUGUUUGAACAUCUCCUCGAUGGCCAACACCUGCAAUGGCGGAGCAUUAAUAUCGUAAUACGCAGCAGAGUCACGAUUGGAGAUAAAGAGGGAGAAAGCAGGUUGGUGAAGAGAGGGAACCUGUUCAACAAUCUCAUGUGGUCGAAGGUUCCUGGCGAAGCCUCCCUUGCCCGUGGCACAGAAUGAGCAACGCAAGGGGCAGCCAACCUGUAUGUUAUGCAUUACACGAGUGUGAAAAGCAAGAAACCUGUAUGUUAAGAAUGGAGGUUGCAGUUCCACAGGCGCACAGCACCUGUGAUGAAACACAGGCAGUGAGCCUAGAAGAGCCUUUGCUGUCAUCAUCGACAGGAAUCCCUACUGUCUCGAUCAAGCGGUUAUCCUCCAACUUGAGAAGUAUCUACAAGGACGAAGAUCGAGAAGAGUGAUGAGCGCCCAGGUUGGGCUACACAUGCGAAGGAGAGCAAUUGCAGGCACCGUACCUUGGUAGUGCCAUCCGAGGCAGUGACGGCAUGGUGCACCGGCGAGCGGCCAACGGUCCAGCCAGCGCCGAGCAGCGCCUCCCGGAACGCCUUGGGCACUGCGGAAAGGCAGCAAAAACAAAAACAGUGGGGUUGUUUUGUUGCAGGGAAUCAAAAGAACGAACAGCUGGCGUGCAUCGUGAAUCCCUGACCGUAGUUGAAGUCUUGGAUUUGGCUGGCCCUGGACUUGUAGAGGAGGUCGUGCAGCUGCUUCCCCCUGUAGCUUUGCUGCGAGAGUGGACGACGAUGGUGACGGGCCGGGGAAGCUAAUAAGGCACAGGUGCAGUGGUGGAGAAGCAAGUACCUGGCCGAGGUCGAGGGCGAGCUGGCGGAGCUCAGGCUCUGAGAGGCCGAGUAGCGCGCGGCGAGAAGUCACCCCCUGAGAUUGAGACUUGGGCGGCGCGGCGGCGGCGGUGGCGGUGGCGGUGGCGGUGGCGCGCGCGCGGAGGGCGCGGGCGAGAGGGGCCGCGCGGACGUGCUGCGGCGCGGCGGCCAUUUCCUUGUUCGCGUUCGUUGUGUGGGGGGAUUGGAUUACAAGACAAACCAAGAUAUUUCCCUUUCUUCUCUAUCUAUCCACUUGGGAACGGGCCGGGCCGGGCCUUCUCCCCGCUAUGCUCGUUAGCAGCUGGGCCGGGCUGCUUCAAAAGUGAAUUGAGAAGAAAACAAACUUGAUUGGGAUUGGCAAAACAAAACGAUCGAAUUCCGUCAAUAAAUUAAUUAUUAAUUCAGAAGCGCGCACCAUUUAGUAUAGCACAUGUUUUUCGUUUGUGCCAGUCCCUCCGGAGGUUCCGGAGUUGAGCGUGGAAUUUUAAAUUUUGAUAUGAUACCUAGCUUCAACCAUGGUUUUUUAUCCUUCCUACUCCAUCUGGAGCUGUUGGAGGGGUCUAUGAAUUUUUAAUUUUCAUACGAUAUCUGGUAUCAACUAUAACCUAUAGCAGAUGUUUUUCAUCAGUACUAAUCCGUCCGGAGCUAUUGGAGGUGAGUGUGGAAUUUUAAUUUUCAUAUUAUAUCUGGUUUGAAUCAUGACUUACAUAUUUUUCGCCCUUUCUACUCCAUCCGGAGCCGAUAGAAGUGACUUUGGAUUUUUAAUUUUCAUACGACAUAUAGCCUCAACCAUGACCCAUAGCAUAUGUUUUUCGUCAUUCCUACUGCAUCCGGAGUUGAUGGAGGUGUUCGUGGUUUUUUAAUUUCCAGAGGAUAUCUAGCCUCGACCAUGACCUAUAGCACACGUUUUUCGUCCGCCCUAGUCCCUCCGGAGCUUCAGGAGUUGAGUGUGGAAUUUAAAUUUUCAAAUGAUAUCCAGCCUCAACCAUGACCUAUAAAACAUGGUUUUCAUCCUUCCUAGUCCAUCCGGAGUUGGUGGAGGUAUCUGUGGUUUUUUAAUUUUCAUACGAUAUUUAGCCUCAACCAUGACGUAGAGCACAUGUUUUUCGUCCGUCCUAAUCCCUCCAGAGCUAUUAGAGGUGCAUGUGGAAUUUUAUUUUCAUAUGAUAUCUGGUCUCAAUCAUGACCUAUAGCAUAUGGUUUUCAUCCUUCCUACUCCAUCCAGAGGUGGUAGAGGUGUCUGUCGAUUUUUUUAUUUUCAUACGAUAUAUGACCUCAACAAUGAUCUAUAGCACAUGUUUUUCAUCCUUCCUACUGCAUCCGGAGCUAAUUGAGGUGUCCAUGGUUUUUUAAUUUCCAGAGGAUAUCUGACCUCGACCAUGAUCUAUAGCAUAUGUUUUUCAUCCGUCCUAGUGCCUCCGGAGCUUCUAGAGUUGAGUGUGGAAUUUAAAUUUUCACAUGAUAUCUGGCCUCAACCAUGACCUCUAGCACAUGGUUUUCGUCCUUCCUAGUCCAUUCGCAAGUACCAGGGGUGUCCACGCAUUUUUAAUUUUCAGAGAUAUUUGGCAUCAACCAUGACCUAUAGCACUUGCUUAUUGUCCUUCCUACUCCAUCUAGAGCUGGUGGAGGUGUUUAUAGAUUUUUAAUUUUCAUACGAUAUCUGACCUCAACCAUAACCUAUAGCACAUAUUUUUGUCCGUCCUAGUCCCUUCAGAGCUUUUGCAGUUGAGUGUGGAAUUUAAGUUUUCAUAUGAUAUCUGGCCUCAACCAUGACUUAUUGGACAUAUUUUUCGCCCUUUCUACUCCAUCCGGAGCCAGUAGAGGUGUCUUUGGAUUUUUAAUUUUCAUACGAUAUAUGGCCUCAACCACGACAUAUAGCAUAUGUUUUUCGUCAUUCCUACUGCAUCCAGAGCUGAUGGAGGUGUCCGUCGUUUUUUAAUUUUCAGUGGAACUCUGGCCUCGAGCAUGACCUAUAGCACAUGUUUUCCAUCCGUCCUAGUCCCUUCGGAGCUUCUGGAGUUAAGUGUGGAAUUUAAAUUUUCAUAUGAUAUCUGCCCUCAAACAUGACCUAUAGCACAUGGUUUUCGUCCUUCCUACUCCAUCCGGAGCUGGUGGAGGUAUCUAUGGAUUUUUAAUUUUCAUACAAUAUCUGGCCUCAACCAUGACCUAUAGCACAUGUUGAUCGUCCGUCCUAAUCCCUCCGAAGCUAUUGGAGGUGAGUGUGAAAUUUUAAUUUUCAUAUGAUAUCUGGCCUCAACCAUGACCUAUAGCACAUGGUUUUUGUCCUUUCUACUCCAUCCGGAGCUAGUGGAGGUGUCUGUGGAUUAUUUAUUUUCAUAUGAUAUAUGACCUCAACCAUGACCUAUAGCACAUGUUUUUUAUCCUUCCUACUGCAUCCAGAGCUGAUGGAGGUGUCCAUGGUUUUUUUUAUUUCCAGAGGAUAUCUGGCUUCGACCAUGACCUAUAGCACAUUUUUUUUCGUCCGUCCGAGUCCCUCCGGAGCUUCUAGAGUUGAGUGUGGAAUUUAAAUUUUCAUAAAAUAUCUGACCCCAAAUAUGACCUAUAGCACAUGAUUUUUCUCCUUUCCUAGUCCAUUCGCAAGUACCAGGGGUGUCCGUGCAUUUUUUAUUUUGAGAGAUAUUUGGCGUCAACCAUGAUCUAUAGUACUUGCUUAUUGUCAUACAUAUAUGGCCUCAACUAUGACCUAUAGCGUAUGUUUUUCGUCCUUUCUACGAUAUGGAGAGCUGACGGAGAUGUCCGUGAUUUUUUAAUUUUCAGUGGAUAUCUGAUCUCGACCGUGACCUAUAAUAUACCAUGACCUAUAAUAUAUGCAAAGAGGAAUGCAAGCAGGAACGGCUGGCGGAGCGGUGAGGCUGACAGCCGGCGCCCCGGCCUCCUGGUUGUUGCAUGAUGAUGGUAGCAUAUAUUGCUUGCUGCUGCUUCUGAUGAUGGCAUCGUCCUGCAGCUACUGCAUCGUCCUUGUGGCCCUGGAAUCCUUGCUGGUUUAGCUUCUUGACGGCGAUGACGAUUCCGGUGCCGGGCCUGGCGGGGGCAAAGGUCCUGUCGUCGAUCCAUCCUUUGAAGACGCUGUCGGGGCGGAGAUCCUCAGCUCGCUGAAGGUGAAGCUCCGAACCUUGGCGGACUGCAAGAUGUCGCCCUCGCUGCGACUGCUACCGCGAGUGGUGGUGGUGGGAUCAUCGUCAGCCACCGCCACCGAGAUGAUGGAUGGCGCCGCCGCCGCCGCGGAGAUCACGUACACGGCUCUUCUGCUUGGUGGUCCUGAUCCCCCUCACCCAGCAGCAGCAGUUGCUACCCUACCACUACCAGUGUAUACAUAUGCACUAGUUGGCCGCCGGGUAGAGUGUGAACUCUGCAUGCCUGUCCGUAUAUACUACUAGUACUCGGCCAUGCGGUGGUUGUGCUCGAGAACAUCCGGCCCCGGCCUUUUGACUUAAGCUGAUGCUCGGGAUGAGUCAAUGCAAGGACGAAGGAUGCUCGGGAUUAUACUGGGUCGGACAAUCGUCCUACGUCUAGUUGCUCCAGUUGGGUUUGCUGAGUCGCUCUACAUGAAAGGGUGAAUAGGCGUAACCUGAAAUUACGCUUAAUAAAAUGGCUGGAGGGAGAGAGGGGGAGGGAGGGGAAUAAAGUGGCUGGGGAGGGAAGGGAAGAAGAUAACACUGAUACGUGGAUCUUAUUGCCAUGUGUCGUCCACAUCAGCAAUAUAAUCAACCAAAAUCAUCAGAUGGUAAAACACGAACAAUUUUGAUGUGGUCAAAGAUUAUGAUUUUCGAGUUUGGCGGUGGAAAGGCAAACCGAAUCACUCGUUGGAUAUUCAAAAAUGAAAAAAAAAAGACAAGAAGGAUUAUCGCAGGAGCAACAAUUGAUAUUGGCACCCAGACAAAGGGGAUCAGCUGCCUUUAUCCCGUGGUCCUACAAAAUCGACCACCCGCCUCCAUAAUUAAGUUCCUGUUAAUUUCCGAUUACAGCUGGCUGGCCUGAUUAGCUAAUUAAGGCUCUUCUGUGCUCAAUUAUUUGGUAUCCAGACAAUCAAUACUUGAUCGAGCUCGUGAUGCCAUUACAUGUGACUAGUGCUGCUACUUAGGUCUGUUUGGUUCUAUAGGACUAAGGUUUAGUUUCUCCCUUUUAGCUUCUUUUAGUUCUUAAACUUCCAAACAGAGAGACUAAAGGGAUUAGUUCUUUGAUCCUUUAGUCACGGGAGACUAAAGGGGACUUAGGAGGACACCCCCUGCCCCCGCAGCGUGUGAUGUAAAUUUUGUGCAUUGAUUAGAGAUUUUUUGAUUUUAGUGACCUUUAGUCUUUGGAUCCAACCAGGUAGGGACUAAAGCAGUAUUUAUCUAAUGGUCACCGGGCAGCAGCAGAAAAAUCGAAAAUAAACAGUGUCUUGAGCCCCAAGAAAGCACUAUCUAGCUGGAUCCGAAGCAACGAGGAGGAAAGACGAAACCAAGCUAAUGACUCGACUAAUCAUGCCCACAUGUACUAAUCACACGUUAAUUACUGUAUCCUAAUGAAAACUGGUACAAGGAAGGCGGCGCGGAUGAGACGGGGAUUCGAAACUUCCCGCUCCCCUUCCCUACCGCCUAACAAUUAUAUAAUAAAUAUAUAAGAGGAAGGGGAGGCGACCUCACCUGUCACCUCCUUUUUCUCUUCUUCUCCGCGUUGCGUUGGCUUUUCUCCUCCGUUUUUUUUUUGUGUGUUCCUCCAAUUCAUUCCCCACCCACCCCUCCCCCUCCCCCUCCCCCCAAUUCGAUUCCGUUCAAUUCAAUUCCCCCACCGUCGGAGGGGAGAGAGUCGGAUAUGAUGCUGGUCGCCAAGGAGUUCGCCCUCUCGCCGCCCGCUGCGGUCGCGCCGCGCCGGAGGGCCUCCGCCAGGGUCGCGCCGCACGCCGGAGGUGGCUCGCCGGUGCCCGACCUCUGGCUGCGCACCGCUGCCCCCGCCGCUGACGGCUUCGCCUUCGGGAGCCACAGCCACGACAGCGACAUGGAUUUGGCCAUGCUCGUCACCGACUUCCUCGAGAACGGCGGCAGCGCCGGCGGGGACUCGCGCGCCAGCAGCGACAGCGACUCCGGACUCUCCGACCUCGCCCACCUCGCAGAUAACAUCGCGGUACCUUGCACCUCUCUGCUCCUGCACCGACCUGCGGUGUUUCCAUUAUUUUCUUUUUAUUCCCGAUCAAAGCUUUUAACUAAGGAGUAGGUGGCUAGGUGCUAAUUAAUUUACUAGGCAAAUCAAUUCCUCCUUUCUCAUAUUAUUAUUAGUGAUGAUAUCAAUUGUGGUGGCUUGUGCUAUGAGAUUGCUUUCCUGGAUCGCCAAGCUACGAAACAAAAGGUAGGUUAUGUUUUGCUCCCAGUUGGCCUGUUUUGCUCGUGUCCCUUUGGUAUGCGUCCCUAGUCCUUUUAGCCAUAGUAUGUAUGCACAUGAUCAGAUUAGUACUGUUGGGUGCCCGCAUAGACUGCAAUAACUUACAUUCCAUGCACCCUGUUUCAGAUGCUCAAGCAAGGAGGAGAUGAGAAGGAAAAUGAGCUGCUCUCCAUGGUCCACUCCCUACUCUUCUCUAUCCAUGAGUCGGAGCUUGAGCCUUUUAAAAGAGGUCAAUGCAGUGGCGGUUGCAUCCGCCACCUACUUGUCAAGCUCUUGAGAUACUCGGGGUAUGAUGCAGCAGUCUGCACAUCCAAAUGGCAGGGGUUUGACAAGAUACCUGGAGGUACCUAUGCUUCAUACCGAGAGUCCUUCCUUAAUCUGCUCUACAAAUCAAGCUGUGUGGCUAAACUGUUUUGUGUUUUCCCAAUCAGGUGACCAUGAGUACAUUGAUGUCCUAACGCAUGGCGAUGCUACUGGGCCAGAGCGUCUGAUAGUUGACAUCGACUUCAGGAGCCACUUUGAAAUUGCCAGGGCAGUUGACUCUUAUGGGACUCUGUUGAAUUCGCUCCCAGUGGUGUAUGUUGGCACCCUUCCACGGCUGAAGCAGUUCCUGCAUGUCAUGGUAGAUGCUGCAAAAUGGUCCCUGAAGCAGAACUCUAUGCCGCUUCCUCCUUGGAGAUCCUUGCCUUACCUCCAGUCGAAAUGGCAGUCCAAGUAUGAGAGGAAAGACUUGAUUACUGAGCAAGGCUUCCACAGCACAGCAUCGGACCAUGCGCUGUGCAUUGGACACCUGAAGAGGCUGAAAACUUCCCUCCAGUCAGAGCUCGAAACCGGAAGAUUGCUGAUGAUGCCGAUCAAGGCUGACAAGAAGAGGACGCCAAAGUUUGAGAGGAGGCGGCGGCGGCGUUCCCUUCUCAGUUGUUGAUGCAGAUUUGUGUUCCCUGGAUACAGAAGAAUACUGAGGAUAAGGAGCAGUAGGUUGCUGCUGGGCAAUUUUGGUUUCCCAGAAAAGGGAGAAAUGGGGCUCUUUUACAGAUAAGGUGAAAUGGGAGGUGGAUACUAACAGGCCAUUUUAGUGCCAGGUUUUUUGAAGGCACAUAAGAAAAAGACAAGAAUUAUUUUGUUGGUUUUGGUUUUUGUUGAUUCGGCGAGGCUGGGCAUGCUAGUGGUGAACCUGCUGCAUACCAUGUACAAUUGUGAGUUACACUACAGAAUCAAAAUUUUCCCCUUUUUAUUGAUUUUCUAGAGAUACAGCUGUUCCCCUUCUCCUUUGGAGCACACUUUGUUUGUUUCCCACAUUGUAAUUGUAACCGUAGGAUGUGCAAGUUGAGUUGCACCUGUUGAAAAGUAUAUGUUUCGGUUCAUUUGGUUUUAGAGAAUACAGUAUUGUUUCCAUUACACAAGGCUCCGUCUGUGUGUUUGUAAAUUGAUGUCUUAUGUCUUAUGCCUGGACUAGUGGAGCCUUUAAUUUUGCACGAAAGGAAAGGAGGGCUUGUGAUAUGAUGAAGAAAGAAGGAACAUGAGCACGUGUAAAGCAUGCAGGUACUGUGGCAUGGUGUGGACCGAUGCAUGACAAUGGACAAAGUGUUGUGCCGGCCCCUUUUUGAAUGUGGCACUUGUCAAUCAGUUUCAGUUGAUGAUGUCUUUGGUUGGCUAAGCAAAAGAAAACAAGUCUCUUGGAGGUGAGGAUCACAUGGCAUGCCUGCAUGUUUUUUUUCUUGGAUCCAUUGAUAGUUGUAAGACAGCACACGCUGGAAGGAAGUAGGACGGACGUACAGUACAGGGGGUAAAAAGAAAAAGGAAAAAAAAACAUGCUGAUGGGGUGAGAGAGGCUCGAACUCUCGACCUCAGGAUCACUCGCUUUAGCUAUGAGACCUACGCGCUAACCAACUGCGCCACCACCCCGUCACGCUCUUGCAGAUUUGUGUCUCGUAUUGUUCUUAGUCUCUGGUAUUUAGAAUAUACUAUAACAACUUAACUAAAGACCGAAAUUAACUAAUGAGAUGGUUAAGCCAUUGUGUUCUUUGAGAGCUGAGAUGCUUGGGUGGUGGGCCCCGGGUGUCGACGAGCAGAUGUGCUUGGGCUGGGUGGGGUGGGUCGGAGGCCGCCCUUCCCUUCUUCUUUUGCUCUCCCAUUCCGAUUCCGAUUCCGAUUCCAAUUCUUCUUCCUCCUCCUCCUCCUAACAACCUUGGAUUGGAUUCACAUCAUCAAUCAAUCCUCUUUGAUUUUUGCCGCAGGAAGGAUGAUGAUGCCCAUGCCCAUGCCCUCGUCGUCGUCGUCGUCGCCGUCUAUGGCCGCCGCCGCCACCAAAUCUCCCCUCCUCCCUCCCCCAUUCCUCUCCGCCUCUCCCCGCCCGCACCUCCGCGCCGCCUUCCUCGCCCUCAGACCCCGCCGCGUUCCGCUGCUCGCCACGCCCGCCCCGGAUGCCACGCCCGCACCGGACGCCACCACCACCAACAACCCCUUCGCCGCGCUCGUCGACGCCCCCCGCACGCUGUGGCGCCGCACCCUCCAGCCCCUGGGGGACUACGGCUUCGGCAAGCGCAGCGUCUGGGAGGGCGGCGUCGGCCUCUUCAUGGUCUCCGGGGCCGCGCUCCUCGCCCUCGCCCUCGCCUGGCUCAGGGGAUUCCAGCUCCGCUCCCGAUUCCGCAAGUACAACACCGUCUUCGAGUUCACGCAGGCCUGCGGGAUCUGCGUCGGCACGCCCGUACGCAUACGAGGGGUCACCGUCGGAUCCGUCGUCCGCGUCGACUCAUCCCUAAGGAGCAUCGAUGCGCUAGUCGAGGUCCCUCUCCCUCUAUUGCUUUGUUCCUUUGCACUAGUAAUUCAUACUCCCUCUUCAUAAGCUACUACAACCUGAAUGUCCAACCUCCACCACUAAUACCCUAACUUAAUCGUCUCAAUCUCUCUCCAUUUCCAUCGCUAAUCCCCUAAGUUUGUCAUCGUGGCAGGUCGAAGAUGAUAAAAUCAUUAUACCACGCAAUUCACUGGUUGAGGUCAAUCAGUCUGGUCUUCUAAUGGAGACACUCAUUGAUAUCACACCAAAGGAUCCACUCCCCGCACCUUCAGUAGGGCCACUUCACCCAGACUGUGCCAAAGAAGGCUUGAUUCUCUGUGACAAACAGAGGAUCAAAGGACAGCAAGGAGUAAGCUUAGAUGCCAUGGUCGGAAUAUUUACCCGUCUAGGAAGAGACAUGGAGGAAAUUGGUGUUAGCAAAAGCUAUAAGUUGGCUGAAAAAGUUGCAUCCAUAAUGGAAGAGGCACAACCUCUUCUUACACGGGUACAAAUUCUUCUCUCCAUUCUUCCCCAUAACAGUUUGCAAGCCUGCUUACCUUGUUGGAAUGCCUGUGGAACCAAUUCUUUCAGCCAAUACUGCUAAAUAGGCUUCAUUCUGCACGGCUUUCAUAACCUUUCCCAACAUGCCUCAUGUGCAAUUCAUUGUUCACCAAAAUAGAUUCCCACUUCCACUUAUUCGCCUUGGCACACUACUAGAUAUCCCAAAUACCAGCGUGGCUGAGGUAGAAAUAGUACAGCUCGCCCAUGCUUACAGUGAGACUUGAGCUGGACUGCUGAGAUCGGGUUCCCUAUGCAGCAUACCUUCCCAGUUGGCAUGUUUACUUGCCUCUGCUUUAUGAGUAAUAGUGAACAGGAGGGGACCUCAACGUAGUUGGAGUGUGGUGUUAGCUUAUUCUUCUUUAUGUUGUAUGCUUUUGAAAAAAUGGGUGGAGCGUCGUGCUUCCUCCAUAUAGUAUGCGGAUUUUAUUCUGUCUGCUAAACAGGGUUUUGGAAGCUAAUUGUGUUGUUAGAUGUGAUAUGCAUGGAAUUAAUGCUAGUUAUGGAACAACAGAUUGAGGCCUUAGCUGAAGAAAUCCAGCCUAUGCUCUCUGAGGUUCGUGGUAGCGAUCUGCUCAAGGAUGUGGAGACUAUAGCUAAAGGCCUGGCUGAUGCGUCUGGUGACUUGAGGUACUACUGCCUGGAAAGCACAAUGAUGCAAAAAUUCCUAUUUUCCUUUGAUGAUAGGGUGGACACUUGAUAAUUUCUUUUCGUUGGCACUGUCCUGCAGGAGGCUCAAGUCGUCCAUGCUAACCCCAGAGAACACAGAUCUCAUUAAGCAGUCUAUUUUCACCCUUAUAUUUACGCUCAAGAACAUCGAGGUAUGUGCUUUUGACACACCCAACAAUUUUUGUGGUAUCUGUUUCUCGAACUGAACAAGAGGUUGACGUGCCCCUUACCUUGGUUAAAAUUCAGAGUAUCAGCUCGGACAUCUCUGGCUUCACGGGUGAUGAGACGACACGGCGGAACAUCAAGCUUCUGAUCAAGUCUCUUAGCAGGCUAUUGUGAUUGGUUUUGGAUUGGAUGGUGAUUGCUGGAAACGGGGGGUUUGAUGUUGGUAGAGUAGGGCGGCUGGCUGUCUUGACUGAGGUAGGAAGAAGUGAAGGAAUAGCUAAUUAGAGCAUCUCCAACAAAAUUGCCAUCCCACUCUCCAAGCCAAAAUUUGGUAAGUUAAAUGGAGAGCCAAAAAUGGAUAGUCAGUUGGAGUUGCUCUUAGUGUUCCUCAAGGUUUUGGUUGUUCUUGUUGCAAGUUUACCAAACAGUCUAAAAUUCAAUCCGAAUUUCCAAAAAAAAAAAGGAGCAAGCGUGAGGAGAAAUCUCCCUACUUGCUGAGCUGUUAGGCCCAUUUUUUGGUGUUGACUCGGCCGAUCGUCCUUUGUUGGCUGGGCCAACGUGUAACGAAGUGAAGAAAUACACGAUAUUUUCUUGUGUUUGCCCCACCGCGUGCAUGUCUCGCUGUUAUGAUUAUUGAUGAAAAGCUUUGUUGUUAUGAUUAUGAUUAUUGGUGGUGCCAACAAAUAAAGCUGGCAUGCAUGCAGUGAUCCGAGUUUGUUGGAGGCUGAGCUGCUGAACUGGUCGCGUCUGGGAUUGGUCGGCAUGGACUGGUUGGCAGGCAUCUCGAACUCGAUCGAUCCGGGGUCUGUUCGCUUCAGCUUAUUGAGCCGGCUUAUCAGCCACCAAACAGUAUUUUCCUCUCACAACAAAUCAGCCGUUUCAGCUUUUCAGCCGGCUUAUAAGCUGAAGCGAACAGGCCGCCGAUAGAUGAGAAGACCGUUCCUUACCAUUAAAUAUAUUAUUAUAUGAUAGUCAAGUCAAGCUAUAUAUAUGUGUGUGUCUCUCCAAGGAGUAUAUCGAUCGAGCAACCAGAUCGAAGACGAGCAAUGCCUCACGGUGGCUUCUCCGGCAGGCUGACGUCGCCCAAAUUGGGCUUGGCCGUGGACAUGGGCCAUCCCUUCCUCAACCACGCCGUCGACGGCUUCAUCAAGAUCGGCGCCGUAAAGCAGUCAAAUAAUUCUAUUCCAUGUCGAUCUGCAAUUUUAUACUCCAUCUCAAAUUGUCGGUCUCAUUUUAGCUUUCCUAAAUUUAUAAUUUUUAUUAUGCAGGAUGCGUAGCAUAAUCUAUGAAUUAAAAAAAAGUCAAAACAACCUAAAAUUUAGGAUAGAAGAAGUAUAACAUAUAAUAAUAAUAAUGCAUAUCUAUUGUAUAUUGCAGGUGAGUGCUUGCAAGGUGGCCGCCGAGGAGUCCUUUGAGUGCCUCCACAGAGGUAUCGCAUCAAUCGCUAGCUAGGAUUUCAAUUAAUUUCUCCGAUCCAUAAGCCCCGCCCCGCCUGCCCUUUGUUCAUUCGAAUUCGUCAUGCAGGAGAUGUUUCCAAGCACAAAGUCGAGCAUGCUGUAAGUUGAUACAUACAAUUCAUUCCAUUUAGCUAUGUAUAAUACAUACCUUGCCAAGCAAAUAUGAUAUAAUCAAGUGGAUCGUCUAUGCAUGCAUAUGCAGCUCAAGAAAAUGUGCAAGGAAGGCGCGUAUUGGGGUAUGCUGCUGCCUGUAAUUAAUACAAAUGUUGCAUCUAUAUAAUUAUAUAUUAUAUCUGUAUAUGUAUGUUCAUCAGGAACCAUUGCUGGUGUAUACGUGGGCGUGGAGUACGGAAUCGACAAGAUCCGUGGCCACAGGGACUGGGUGGGUAUUCGCUACUAGCUAGCACUACAGUGUACAGAUCCAAUUUGCGAAAAAGUUUACAGAUGAAUGAAUAUAAUGUUGCAUUGCAGAAGAACGCGAUGCUUGGAGGAGCCGUGACGGGAGCCUUGGUCUCUGCCGUCAACAACAACCAGCGGCACAAGGUGGUCAAGAACGCCAUCACCGGUGGAGCCAUUGCAACCGCCGCGGAGUUGCUCACCAACCUCACCUCUUGAUCCCCUUCGUUCCAGCAUUGCAUUGCAUCGACAGACCGGCAAGAAUAAUAAGCAAAGGCCAUAUAUAUGUACUGAUGCAUCCUCAGAGUCUCGUCUCCAUCCAAGCCGUGUGUGCAUUAUUAUACAGUAUAUAUAAGUGUUUGGACAGGAAUAAAAUCGUUUUCCAUUUCUUUAUCCAUGCCCCCAAAUAUAUAUUUCCUUAUACCGACACUUGAGCUGCUCCAGUACCGAUUCGAACCCAACUGAUUCCGCUUGUGUGGAGUUUGGUUCGUGGUCUCUAGUGCUUCUUAUGUGCUGUUUGUUUCCGCUUCUCACAGCCAUACUUGACUAUAAUCUAAACGAAGAUUUUCUCACUUCUCGCUUUUUGCUUCUCGUAGUUCAAUUCUUUGAAGCGGCUUACCAUGCAAGGGAGAAUCUAGGAAAAUAAGUAAGACAUUUGGUGGGAUUCUCGCUUAUUUUCAUCGAUAAGCCGCUUAUAAGCGGAAACAAACAGUGCCUUAGCCUUUGAAUCGUUUCAGGACUACCUUGAAAAGUACAACAUUUCCAAAUUCCGGUGGAGUUUUUGCCAAAAGUAUUAUGUAUACAUCAUGUUUUGGGCAUAUAUACGUACUGCAACUAGUUUGUUGAUAGUCUUUUAGACUUUCGACAGAUUUUUAGGCUAGUGGGUGAGUUAUAACUCAUUUUUCUCGAUUUUACUAGUAAUUCCGUUUUGUUGGAAGAGUGUGUUUUAGAGAAUAUUUGGCCUAAAGUAUGAGGUAUUGCUCAUGUCUUUGGCCACCCCAGUUGUUCUGGGAUUACUAGAAUAGCAGCACCAGCACGAGACUUUCCAAAAUUUGAUGGAUUUUUGCCCAAAACAUAAGUUAUAGCUCAAUUUUUUUUUUUACAUUAUUUGUCUUUGUUACUAUGACAUUGGAUUUCUUUCGAUGUAUUUUUGCUCAUGUGGGUGAUAUACAACUUGUUUUAUUGGCAUACUAGUGUGUGAGCUAUUGCUCAUGUUUCUCGGCCUUUACUAGUCAUUCCAUGGUUACAAAAGGAGUUAGGAGUCUUGAAUUUCAAAGGAUAUUAGUCCUAAACCAUGAGCUAUAGAUAAUGCCUUUUUCCGGCCAUCCCUUUCGUUCCAGGAUUAUCAAAAUUGCACGAGGAUUUCCAAAUUUCGAUAGAUUUAAGCCCAGAGCCUUGGUAUAGCUCAUGUUUCUUGGCGUACUAUGUCCUAUUAGGCGUGACGUGACAUUGGAUUUGUCUUUCAAUGGUUUUUUGGGCGAACGGAUGAGCUAUGGCUCUUGUUUUUCAGCUUUCCUGACGUACUAUAUAAGGUUUGAUUUUAAUCAUCACAAAUUAUAUUUUCACAUUAGAUGUAACUAUUUUUAUUAACAUAAUAAGUUACAAUAGAUACUUACAGUCAACUGAUUCAUUGAUGAUCAUGUCGACUUUUAUGUUUGCGAUUAGAGGAGUCUAUACAUACACAGCGCGUGCUGUAUCAGUACUAUCGAAAUUUUAGCUUGGCUGAUGAGAAUGCAUAGCUAGGGAGCACGCAAAUGACGAUGACAAUCUCCAAUCCAUGUUUCUUUUUCAGGAUGUCUCAAUCGAUUGUUUCCAGGAUGUCCACGGCAGCAAGGGCAGCCCACCCCUGAGCCCUGACCAAAUGCUCCACCAACCAAAUGCUCCACCCAGUGCAAGACUGUCACCAAUUCAGCAUACCAAAAUCACUGGCAAAUACUUGCAUAUAAGAGAUGAGGAAUUAAACAUCAUGUCCACUAUCCCCUUGUUUGGCCCCUACAUUCUCAUCCGACCUUGCAAUUGCACCAAAAACCACAACCACCAUUGCACAAUCAAGUUCGAUUCCAUAUGCACAAUCAAGUAUGAUUUGCACGUACGGUGCUCCUCGUUACAAUUAACCAACCAACCAACAUGACAGCUAGGACAGAGCUCCAAAUUAAUCUCUUCCACCCUACACAUUUACAUUGUUACUCCGCAAUACAAAUCUACACGCCUCUGGUCAGUUGCCAUAUAUGGAAAGGUAAAGGAGGGCAAACACACAGGAAAGGGAGACUGGCUACUUAUUGAACCGAGCAUGCUUCAAAAGAAAAAGUUGUGCUGCCCCGAUCUCAAUGGUUCAGCAUUACAAAAUUGUAGAGUCUCUUAACCUUUGGUAAUUCAUCCAGGUAGGUGUUUACCUGGCACAGUGACUCCCAUGAAAAGAUAUUCACCAAGUCUAGCAAAGAACGAAGAAAUUCAAAGGCCUGUACAUGCAUCCAGCCAAACCAGUAAUUUACAUGAUUCACAUUGCAUCUGUAAAAAUAUUAAAAAGAUAUAUUAGUGACCUCAUAACAAAGAACGCGUAUGGAGAGUACUAUUCUGGCAGCCUGGCAUAUUCUACACUAAAGAAGAGGGCACGCCUCUUCUUUCUAGAAGCAGCAUUAUAAAGUACACCAUAUCAAGUAGACUAAUUCUAGACUACAGGCAAAUCCACAUAUUGCAAUGGUGACAGAGAAUUAGUUUAGGAGGAUGCACCUUUUCUUAAUUUGGAGCAGAGGAAUGCAGUUUCAGAUUCUUCUGCAAUAAACACAGCCUAGAGUACUGCUAACUUAGAGCUUUAUCCAUUGAAAUGCCAAUAUGGCCUUAUCAUUGCACUCCUAGGUCAUUUGAUAACUGCAAUAUCCCACGCAUUUGAAGGUAUGGGUUCUCCAGAAGUUUCUCAUUGUUACACUGGCAACAACACAUACAACAGGUCAGCACCAACUUAAUUAAGUGACAGAAUACACAUGGAAUUAAAUUUCUUAAGAGGCUUGAGCUGCCUCAACAUGUCAGCAGGAACUAUUCAGAUUUCACCCCCACAAGAUGCAUAGCACUGUUCCUGUAAAUGUUUCAUAUUUCAACCCCACAAGAUGCAUAGGGCAGAAGACCUUAACCUGUUGAGCUUUUGAAAUGAGGCUUUGAAGCAUCCGCUGGUAGAUCUCUGGUUCCUCUGUCAUCAUUCUCUGUUCAUACAAACUUUGUUAGGGCAAAGCAGAGUAGAACCAUCAGCAAUCAAUCAGCAGUUGCCUCAGACAUACCUUCAGAAGAAAAGCAGCAGAAUAAUAUGCUACCCUUGAAUCCGUAUCAUCCAGAAGACCCCUGUUGGUUGAAUGGAUAUUAGACAUUACAACUUAGUCGGCCAAGGUAAUGUAGUAUAAAAGGAGGAUACCUGAAGAACUCAUUGCCUUCUACCUCCUUCAGUGCCUCCUGAUCAGCUGUGCAUUUACCAAUCAACAAUAAAAGGAGUGCUGCUCGAAUAUCUGAUGUAGCACCAGGGAGAUUACCUCUUCCUGUGCUACCAACAGCAAUACCUAAUGCAAUGUCAUCACUGGCUGCCCCUUCAAGCUGAAUCAAUGGCCAGAAAAACAAAGAAGUUGGUACACGGGCUACAAGUUGCAUGGGAGCUAUUGCGAGCCCUCUCAGAAGUAGUGCUGCCAUUGAUGCUUCGCAGAGUAAAGUGGAUUGAGCAGAUUGAUCCAUACUGAUAUCUUGCAAUGUCUCACUCCGGUAAAGAUUCUUGUUUCCAACACUUCGGUGUGAUGCAAGGGUUUCCAAAUGACUGUCAAUGUUUUUGGUUGUACAACCAAAAAGUUGACCAAGGGACUGGAGUCCCCCUGCAUGCAUCGCAUUUGUGGAAGGAAUUCUCAGGCAUAAUUGGGAGAACAGCAUGUCACACAUCUGAAAGAGGAAGGAGCAAAUCACAAAUAACCAAAUUUAGAAUAUUAGUAAAAUGCAGCACCUCAACUCUGUAUGAGAUCCGGAGGUAAUAGACCGAUUUGAAUAAGUUCAAUGGACUCCAAAUAAUGUUUUCUAAUUCUCAAUCGAUAAGAGCAGAAGGCUAGAAACUAGUAACUGGGAGCAGAACCAACUCAUACCUUGAACAAUUCCUAAUUUCGAUAAUCAAGAAAGCAUACGAUAUUACUUAUAUUUUAAAACGUAGCUGAUGGAACAUCGUUCUUUUUUGAAAAAUUUUAACAGUCAGUUUUAAGGCAACUACUGGUAAAUACGCAAACGAUGCCGACUUGUAUGUAUGCCAGAUGCGUGCACCAUAAUUGAAAGACAUUAAGGAAAUUACCUUUAAGAUGUUGAUAUGGUCAGUCUCAUUGUUUUGAACUACUAGUAAUAAAGCACUAUUCAUAAUGUCUAUAACCGCGAAAGCUUUAUCAAGACAGUUUUUGCUAUGAUCAGUAGCUGUGUGGUCUUGCAUAUCACUGUCAUCCAAUAAUAAUUUGCAGCGCAUCAGAAAUUUAUCCAGCACAUAUAGGAAUCCCCACCUAAUGAAGUUGUGUUUUGACUUCAGAAGCCCACAAAGCAUACAAACAGGCAGAGAAACUUCUGAACAUGAUAGAUCCUGGCUACCAGCAACUUCAAUUUCCUCUUGAAGCUUUUGGAUUUUAGACCAUAUAGAACCAUCUGUUUCUUCACUGAUUUCUGAAAGGAGCAAUUCAACUAACCAAAUAUAUCCAUGGUGCCUAUAUGAUGAAAUCUGUGAGUGGAGAAGUGAGUGCAAAGUCGCCCAGCAAAGCCUGGCUCUAAGCGCGACAUCAGCAUCAUCACAUCCGUCUUUAAUGCUGCUAAAGCACUUGUAUGAUUUUGUUACUUGGAUCAUAUAAGCAAACUCAUUGUCAAUCCUGGAAAAUGUGCUGACAGUUCCAUCAAGUUUCCUCAUAACCUUGUCCAGAAGCUACAUAUAUAGAAACUUUGAUUAGAACGAGAAAAACAAAUGUUUCUCAAAAGCAAAUUUUAUGCAGCUUCCAGGUCAUCCACAAACGACCUAGUAUAUACUACAGAAAGAAGAUCUAUAACACACUUUCAUUUCAAAAUAGAACAAGAGAUACACAAGCCUUUGAUCUAAAGGUAAUUGCGAAAACUAACGAGGGAAACUUCAAUGUUUACUGGCUGUUUCUAUAUGCACAUGUCUGGACCAUCAUUAGUGAUACCAGAUUAAAUUGAAUAGAGAAGUCAUUAUGGUUGUGCACACAUCUAUCUUAUUCACUCUGCAUACUGAGAUAGAAUGGUAUAAUUGCAGUUCUAUAAGAGACAGAAGGAGCUAUUCGACGAAGGUUCUACACCUGCAUCAAGUAGCACCAGAUUGCCUACUCAGCUUCAUGCAAGCAAAGAGCCUUAGCAUUGGAGAGAAAAAAGCCAAAAGAAACACUGUAUCCAAAUCUACUGACAUAUAAAAUUAGUAGUAAACGAUACAAACACACAGUACCACAUUCAAUUGGUCAUAUUGUGCAGACUGAGACAAUGCCGCUGAUAUAGCUUUCCUCAGCAUGUCUCCGACACCUUCAACACCAUGCUUCACAGAUAUGUAGAAGGCCUCAGGAGCAUCAGCAAAUGCAAGAAGGGAAGCAAGGGGCUGGGCAUCAUCAUAAGUAUAGGUUGAAACACUACCAGCCAGGCAUGUUUCAUUUAUUUGAUGCACUACAUAGUCAAAAAUGACAAAAAAUAAAUCCCGCUUCUCUUCCCUGGAGUUGGCUCGUGAAUACUGUAAAGGUGGUAGAUAGAUUUCAUUAACAUAUAGAUAAAAGAUGACAUAACCAAGUAUAUCAACCAAGAAACCUCCAAAGAAGUCAGAAAUGCCAAACCACUAUGAUAAGGAAAAUCUGUAAUGUCAUAAUAGAUGGAGGUUCAAAAUGGAACUAACAGCUAGCUACGAACUACCAAGGCAAUCUGUUAUGUCAACCAAUUUUUCAAUUAACGAUUUUUGAUGGCAUGGUCCCAGAAAAUGCUACAGAAGCUAUCAUGGGGGCCAACAUUCAUCGCAUUUUAGUAUUAAUUAAUAAAAAUAAUGACUUCUUUUAAUAAUAUAGCUCAUUUUAGAAGAGACUAUUAACAACUUGUACAUAAUGCCUGGUGUAAUAAAUAUAAUUUAGAAGGCAAGCCAUACUAUUUUUAUAGAAGUACUUCAAUCAGUAUGAAGUAUAAUGAUCGGAGGGUUGAAAAAAGAGCAAAUAUUGUGUUUUGCUGAGUUUCCUACACAUUCAUGAUUAUAAGAAAUGCUUUUAGGUCUUCAAGUGAAGAUGGGUUUCAAAAUGAAUUUCUAUUUCACAAAUUUUCACAUCUAUGAUUAAAAAAGUAGCUAGCCCAAAAAUUGGAUAGUUGUAGGUAGCGCACAGAUCAAGUGCAUAGUUCUCUAAUAACAAUGUUUGAUUUAUUAGUCUUGCCAUAUAUGACAUCCAAUUCUAGCUACGACAGAUCUCCUGCAUAGCAAUAACAUGUCCCUUUGUCAACUUAAAAUAUGAUACAUUUUCCUAUGGUCUUGCUUUUGACUUGUCAAACCAGGGGUAAUAAAAAAACAUUCCAGUCAACAUAUAGAAAGGCCAGAUGCAACUUAAGAGCAAGACCAGACCUCAAGACAAAUAUAGUCAAUUCCGCCAAGGAGAUCUAUCCGCUCAGGAACAAAAUGUGUAUCACGAACACCGUUCUGAGUUACAUCUGAUACAUGGUACAGCAUGUUUGUCAGCAUGCAAAUGAGCUUGCUGUGCACCACUUUUGCCCAUGAGUGCUCCACACUAAUCUCAAGAAGAGUCUUAACCACCUGUUCAGGAUUAAAAAACACACAAGUGAUUUGAAGAACAUUUUCAGCAAUAAAACCAUUCAUAGAAACUAGUAAAGAGUAUAUACGCUACAUUUUAGCCAAAACUGCUGAAGUCAAAUGGCUAACAUGUGUCAAAUACAUUGAGGACCUCAUUACAUACAUGAAGACAUUAGAUGUGCAUUGCAGAGACUACUACAAAAAAUCUUAUAAUGGAAUAGUACUGCGGCCAUAUCUUCCAAACAUGUCAACAACAAUAGCUAUAAGCUCAAAUCCACAGAUUCAACUUUCUCUAUUGUGCUGAUAGUUGGCCAUUUUGAUUUGCCAAUGAUUUUGACUGACACACAGUAAAUAAAAAUUAUAAUGCAUCUUCAAAUCAUAUCGUGUCUAGCAGUGAACGAAAUACAAAAAUGGGUAACUUUGCAGCUACAUGAUCUCCAAUAUUAAACAAACAGCCACCAUCAUUUUGAUAUUUUAGAUAUGGCAGAAACGGGUGAUGGUCAGGACUAAGAGAUGUUGCAUAACAUAACAAAAGUGAAUUUGAAGAAAGUUAGGUUUACCCUUAUGUCCAGACCUCCCAAUCUACUCCUGAUAAUUUUUCCUCCAUCACAAACAAAGUAAAAUAGACAACUCAAAGCUGAGGCCCACACAAUCUCCUGUCGUUCCUCCAUCUAUGGAAGCAAGAAAAAUAAUGAAAAAUAAUCACACAUAUCAGCUUACCAGCAAACAAAAAGGCAGUGCAUGAAAUUGAAUAGCUAAGCAUUAAUAAUUAACUAUAACUAAUCUAAAAAAGCACAAGGGCGAAGUGGAGCAUAAACACGCGCAGAUUAGAGCAUAAACACACGGCCACAUAACAAAAGAUAAAUAAAUUCAUAAAUAUAAAUAUGACCCAGAAAAGAGAAAGAUAACUCUUUCUGAAAACACAAAUAAAAAAAUUACUAGAUUGCUUAAAGCAUUUUCUUGAUAUUAAGAGAGCCCCAAAUAUAGCAACCAAAAUGCAUGCUCAAUAUGAGUGUCCUAGAAAAAAAUACCUGUACUAGGAGAAGGAGAACCUCAAAAAGUAUUUUAAGAAGCCAUGACUCAAACAGAUCAAUAGCAGGACUGAUCUUUGGCUCUUCUUCAGGCUCUGCUGCCCUUGGUUCGUCUAUACUUGAUCCAUAUUCGUUGCUCAGAUAAGAAUGGUUCACAGCUUCACUUUUAUCUAUAAGUGGUGCAUCUUCAACAACCAUAGGUUCCAGUAGGUGUGCAUGUACCCCCAGAUUUAGGAUCAAAUCAAGAGCCUUUGUUCUGGCAGAUGUCUUUUGUGAGCUCAACAUACCCUGAAAAGUUAAUAAUGUGCGAAGUUAAUUGAAAGUAAAUUUUAAAGAAACCCUGAAGAAAUGUAUCCCCUAAAAAAACUUGUACCUCAAGCAUAUAAAGUGUCAGGGGAGCAGCAGUCCCGGAGUCCAUCAUGUACCUGGAUUAUAAAAAUAAAAGAAAAAACCCUGAGAAAGCAUUUACAUUAUAUGAUAGAUAAGAAGGUAUGACAGGCUAGCAACUGUUUCACUACUUGGAUCAUCGACAUGUUCAUAACUACUGAGACAUAAAAAGCAGGACAGCAUAACUGUUGACAGUACUACAUAAAAAAAAACAGAUCCAUGCUAAUAUACGUGAAUACAGAAGAGCAAUAAACAAUUCAAAGAUACGUUCAUGUGAGAAAAUAUUUCACAUCAGAAAAAAAGGUAAAAAUUGAAAACAAUACAGCCUUGGCUGAGCAAACAUAUUCUUAGGUAGAUCAGAGCACGACAUCAGUAGUAAAACUAGUGAAAGAGAAUACAAGACAACAAUGCCAGGAUAGUUAAAAUAUCAGGAACACUAGCAAAGUCUGAUAUUGGAGAAUAAAUAACAAGAAAGAAAUGGGAUAUGGAAUCAUACAUGUCAAUAACAAGUUUGAUAAGGACACUGAAUGCCACAUCUGCUGAAGGUUGCCGACUCUGGGUGCUCAAUCUUGUUUGAGCAAUUGACUGACUUGCAUUUGAAGUUGCUUCAGAACAAACUUCAGCUAUGACUUCAGAAAUUUCAGCAGGAUUCAAUCUUAAGGGUUGCUGCUCACUAGUAAAAGAAGGAAACAUGAUGAGCAAGACAAACACACAAAUACAUGAAGUUGUAAGUAUAUAAAGGAACAAUAUGCUGGUAUAUGAUUCGAAGUGCCUUUGAUAACUAUCAUUUUUUCCCUUGCAUCAAGAAUAUGGGGGAUCAAGGGUCAUAAUGAGUUCAUCUGUAAAUUAACCUAUGUAAGGAAUGCAAUUGACAUGGAUCUGUACAUUUGCAAACAAAUAUAGAUGUUCCGACAAAUAAGGGUGCGCUACCAUACAAGUAAAUAAAUGAAACGGCAAAAUACCUGUAGUGUCUAUACUGAAAAAGGGGACGUGCCCGAGGCUGGAAGGUGUUUGCUGGUAUGUUCAUCCUAAAAAAAAAGGACACAUGAUUACAAAAUAAGUUUAUUUUGACCCUUUUAAAAAAACUAUAAUUAGUAACAAAAAUAUGUAGACAUCUGGUAGCAAGAAUCUAGAUGACAGCAAGUAUCAGCAGCCUUCAGUUUAACAUUCACUUAGAACACUAAGGAUAUGCCAGCUGCCCAGAUACAGAAAAUUGUUUUGGAACAAAUUAAUCUGAUAAAGAUCACAACUAGAAAAAUCUAGGACACUAAUAAUAAGAAAUUUGCCAGUGGGGUAAAGACUACGAUGGAGUGAAAAAAUACUCUAGAAAAGGAAAGGCAAAUGUAAGACGUUAUGCUAAAAAACUCAGAAUAAACUUCACAUAAAAUAGUAAAGAGAAGCAUGAAAGAAAAGAUUAAUAAAUAAAUACUAGGCAUACCAAACUUGAUUUGGGCCUGAUUUCAUGCGUUUUGAGGCAGUUAUUGCUUUUAAAUGGCUUUGCGAUGACGCAAAAGUACUUGGUGCAGAAGUUGAAGGUUGCAGCAAAUCAAUAUCUGGGAAUUCUUGGAUAACACUGUAUUUCCACUGUUGAUCAUUAAUUUUCGCCUCCAUAUCCCCAACUAGAAGAGCUGCAGCACCAACUUCAAGAAAACCAUGUGUAUGAAAAUCUUGAAGACCGACAAAAACACUGCUGGUGGUAAAGGAAAUGAGAAAAAUUGUUAGUGUUGGCAACAAAAACAGAAUGGGGACAAAAAAAAACAACAGGCAGAACAAAUCUACCUUUCCCUGGCAGAAGUUGAUGCCUGCCGUUCGCCAUACACAUGCCAUCGCCAGCUUAAAAUGUCAAAGGAAAUAUAUUUGCUAUCAUCUCCAGGCUCACCCCCAUCAACUUUAUCGCUAGCUGAUGAUAUCAAAUCGGAUGAACUAUGGCAUUCCUUCAAUUCAAGAUGUUCUCUGUUGCUAAUAACUUCUGGAGUUAGCUGAGAAACUAAGGACCUAUUCAAAAAUGAUGAAAGUGAAGGAAGUGCCUGCUUUGAGGCAACUGACUGGACUAUUGGUUGGAAUGACAAUUUUGGAAUAUGUCUUGCAACUAAUGAGCGAACAUAGUUUAAAGACUUCACAAGAGAUGCUGAAGCAAAGUUGGAUAUCGGCGGUGCAAUGGGUGAGGAAUUUGGAGCAGCUGUUGCUGAUACUUGGCCAAAAGAUGCUGCUCUGUUAUUUGCCGUUGGUUCACAUUUUGCAAUCGUAUUUGCACAAAAAAGGUCAAUUUGACGCAGAGUCUGGACCCUUGGAAUAUACCUGAAGACCAAAUGCACAAUAGAGUUAGUGCAAACAAAUUUCGCAAGCUGAAAUGAGUGGCAAGAAACAAUCCAGUUACCGGAUAAGGUAUCUCUUUAACAAUGCCACACAUCUUGGUACAACCGCUGGGCUGGUUCAAAAGAUUGUCCAAAUUAGAAGUGGGAAAAGUCAAUGCCCUAUAAAGAUGCAUAACAAAUCUCAAAGUGAACAGAGUAGGACAAUGAAUGAUGUUAAGUAUUUUUUUAGUUAAAAAAUUACUUAGUUAAUUAAUGUAUGCCUUUGAGGAACAAGAAAUUUGUUUUUUUUUAGACCAAACAAGAGAUUUAUUCUAAAUAAGGACAUUAUGCUGAAAAAAGAACCAAAGUUCUUGUUUUUCGCUUUUGCUUGCAAAGAAAGAAUAUUAACCCAGAAGAAUGAUAACCACAUUAAGAUAUCAAAGCUGAAAGCAUACCUGCGAUCACUUUCUGCAAGUGCAUGGUCAAUGAGGACAUUGUAAGCCAUAUCGAUGGUUGAAGGGUUGGCUAUAUAAUCCUGCCAGCAUAUAAUCACAUCCAUUGAGAAAUGGCAUAAAUACGAAGGAAGUGCUUGAGGUGAUAAAAAAAAAAUAAGAGAAUCCUGCUGCAUUAGAUAACUUCCUUUGCAACCAACUCUGGCAUCAAUAUCAUCAAGAGCAGUAACACGCAAAGCAGAGAAGCUAGGUGUGCUGUACAGUCAUCACUAUCAGUUAUCAAUGAUGGCAGAUAUACCAGGAAAUCAAGAAAACAAAAUACCCACACCAGGACAAAAGCAUAUGUUGCCGUUUCAAAAGAUUCAACAGGACAAAUGGUGCAGGCCAUGCAAUGUUGUCUCUACAUUAUGUUGUCCUACACGUCAGUGAUCCUUUGUUAAUCCUGAGACCAUGACUGCCAGGAUAUAACAAAGAGUCUCAGAAUUCUUGUGAUAAGUUGUGCUGUGAGGCCAUCCAUACUCACAAUUUUGAAGUAAGUUUGCUCUCCUUUUUAACUACUGAGCAUAUGUACAAACUUGUGUGAUUCAAUACACGCAAGCAUUACACGAGGAGCGAAGAGAUGAAGAACAGCUGGCACGCGAUAGUGGGGUUCACAAAAGCAAAUGGCGUGUCGACAAAGCAAGGGUGUUAAAUAUCAAUAAACACCUAAUUCUGGUCCUAGACGUUUGGAGAUAAAUGAAAGCAUGCGGAGUUUGCGCACCCAAGUGGAGCGGAACCUAUGCGUACGAUUUCUCUUUUGUACAUGCGCGUAGUAGAGUAUGGAAAUGUAGCUCGUGCAUACACAUAAUAACGCUGGUAAAUAACUCCCCAGAUACAGCAUGGGAUGGGAUGGGAUGGUUUGGCACUAUGAUGUAAUAUAAUAUAAUGGUUGAGAGCCGAUCCACGUACCCGGAGCGUUCGCGAGGCCUCGGCGGCGGCAGAAGCGGCGGCGGCAGCUGGGCCGUGGGUGUGCGGCGCGGGCGGGGAGAGGCAGUCGGCGACGGCCCUCCGGAGCGGCUCGGGCGGCUUGCGGGCGGAGGCGGUGGAUAUGGAGGCCGAUCGCGGCGGGCGGUGGGGCGGCACCGGCGGGGCGGCGGCGGCGGCGGCGGCGGCAUAGUGGCGCGCGCUGGCGACCCGCUUGGACGGCAGCGGGGCCUCCCGGAGCGGCAUCUGGUGGCGGGCGAGAUCGAGACCAAGGAAACCCUAGCUAGGUCUCCUGGCCGUCGGCAUUCGGUCGAUGUCGCAGCAGUAGCAGCAGCGGCCACCGGCGGCGAGAGGCGAGCCCGGAGAUGGAAAUGGAAUCACAAAUCACAAGUGGAGAGGAAGAUUGCAAGGAUUUUGGAUUGGAUUUUGCUCCACAGUUUCCUUGAUUGAAUUUAAUUUUAUUUUUGGGAAGGAGAAGGAACAAGGAAGGGAAGAGGAUGCUCUUCUCCGAUGCUCAUCACGUUGCCACCAGUCUGUCCUCUUCUUUCUCACAUGGGCCUAGCCCGGCCCGAGGACAUGCAUGAUUUGGGCCGCAGAAUGCAGAUGGGCCGGGCCGUGAGAUUGUCCAUGUUGUUGGAUGAUGGACUGGACGCGGAAAUCCUAUACAUCUUCAGGUAUGUUUGAGAUUCGUGCUUUCUUUUUGGAACAUUGGAUUCAACCACCUUUCCCUCCACCGAUCAGAGCAUGCAUCCACCAGAAAGGAAGAAGGUGAAAUUAUUUUUCCUUUAUGCAGAGACCAGAAGAUUGGAUCUACCUAUAAGAGGAAUGCUUUGUAUAAAUAAGUCACUUCUUGGUCUUCAACCCCCAAAGUUACUACAAGCGCCCUCCCCCCAUCAGUGCAAUGGGAUGUGGCUAUUUAUCAAUCUCUUGACUUGAAAUAGGAACAGAGCAUGUUUGAAUUCAAAGGAUCUUAGAGUGUCUAGGGUUGGGCCAGGAGGAUCUCUUAACCUCUUCCUUUUUCUGCGCAUCAGAGUUAUUUCCUAAGGACUUACCAUGGUAGGGGGGAAGAAGCACACUUAAAGAGAGCAGUACAACAAGGAGUUGCAUGCUGCAUUCGGGAAGGAUGAAUCACUCCCGAAAAGGAGUCUAUUGAUUCUCUCCCAAUUGGUUUGAUCGUAGGGGCGAUGAUUUACUUCACGGGCGAGGUCUCUGGUUCAAGUCUAGGAUGGCCCAGCUGCACUAGGGAAAAGAAUAGAAGAAUCAUCUGACUCUUUCAUACAUACUCCGCUUGGCUCGGGGGGGGGGAUAUAGCUCAGUUGGUAGAGCUCUGCUCUUGCAAUUGGGUCGUUGCGAUUACGGGUUGGUUGUCUAAUUGUCCAGGCGGUAAUGAUAAUAUCUUGUACCUGAACAGGACGCUCACUUAUUCUAAGUAAUGGGGAAGAGGACCAAAACAUGCCACUUAAAGACUCUAUUGAGACAAAAGGAUGGGUUGUCAAAAAGGUAGAGGAGGUAGGAAUUGGUCAGAUCUAGUAUGGAACAUAUAUGGAUGAUAGUUGGAGUCGGUGGCUCUUCUAGGCUUCCCUCAUCUGGGAUCCCUAGGGAAGAGGAUCAAGUUGGCCCUUGCAAAUAGCUUGAUGCACUAUCUCUUUUCAACCUUUUGAGUGAAAUAUGGCAAAAGGAAGAAAAAUUCAUGGACCGACGACAUUGUCUCCACCCCGUAGGAACUACGAGAUCACCCCAAGGACACCUUCGGCGUCCAGGGAUCAUGGACCGACCAUAGACCAUAUUCAAUAAGUGGAACACAUUAGCCAUCUGCUCUCUAGUUGGGCAGUAAGGGUCAGAGAAGUACAAUCACUCGUUCUUAAAACCAGCAUUCUUAAGUUAAGAUCAAAGAGUUGGGUGAAAAAAGGGGAGAGCUCCCUGUUCUUGGUUCUCUUGUAGCUAGAUUUUCCGAAACCACAAGAAUCCUUAGAAUGGGAUUCCAACUCAGCAAUUUUGUUUUGAUAUUUUGAGAAGAGUUGCUCCUUGGAUAGCACGGUACGAUGAAAAUUGUAGCUGCGUUAGGGGGAGUUAUUGCCUAUUUUAUGUCCUCUAUUGUAGACUCUUUUUCGAAUCAAAAAACCACUAUGUUAUUAAGAAAUGCAACCCAAUAAUCCAAUAUGAAUAUAUUUUACUAUUUUUUAAAAAUUUAAUAUUUUAGACGAACUACCCUCAACAUUUUGAAUAAACUAGCUCACCAUUUUUUGAACUAUCUACUACAGGGAAGAUAGAGCCCCUGACUAGACGUGUAACCGGAACAAAAGCAUAUGGCAAAAUUGACCCCUCCAAAAACAGCAGGAAACUAUUUGGUAGCUUCCGAUGUUUGAGAUUCGUGCCGUUAUUGUGGGCCACACGAUCUCCUUCAGCUCCUCCCUCCCUGGCUCGCUCGCUCGUGCCGGCGAGGAACCUGGGUUGAAGGAGUGGGAGCUAGGCCCCAGAGCGCCGCCGGCAGUGGUUGGCGGUAGUGGUCAGCGGCAGGGGCAACGAGGAACACAUUAGGAAGGGCAGGGAGGAAGGGUGGUGGCCGUCGGUGGGCGAGCAGCACGACGGCUGCCGGCCGGGGUGGUGGAGGCUAGGGGUAGGGGUGGUGGCGCAUUGGGGAAGAUGAACAGGAGAAUGGACCUUCGCGGGCUUCUAUCUUGCUUCCACAAGGCAGAUAAGAGCCCAAAAGCAGACCCCAUCAAUUCCAUGGGAAGAAUUCUAUACAAGUCUUCUAAUAUUUUAACAGGUCUCAAGUACAAGUCUGGAUUCUGACCGCAUUUAACUCAACAAAUAUCAAUCCAUGCCAAAACUCUAAGACAUGCCUGUUCGCUUCAGUUUAUUCAGCCGGCUUAUCAGCCACCAAACAGUGUUUUCCUCUCACAACAAAUCAGCCGUUUCAGCUUUUCAGUCGGCUUAUAAGCUGAAGCGAACAGGCCUGCCAUCCAGUCAAUCUUCCUUGUAGGGUUCAUCAAGAACCGCAUUGUAGCAUGUCGGGUUGCAGGGAUAUUCGCAAUCUAUUUCCUUUACCUCCCUCCGAUCAAAGAACCAAUCUCCCACCGCUUCAGCUGCCGUCU